This 67003-nucleotide long non-coding RNA is filed under the name Linum usitatissimum (flax). RNAcentral's name for it is "long non-coding RNA (LUSI_LNC003391)". The stretch from base 52046 to 54413 matches the Rfam family "Bacterial large subunit ribosomal RNA". Lineage: Eukaryota; Viridiplantae; Streptophyta; Magnoliopsida; Malpighiales; Linaceae. The record is from RNAcentral.
CUAUUUAUGGUGUUCUUGGUUAAUAUUGAUCAGGAUGGAAUGAUGGAUGGAGUUAUGGUGUUAAAUUACCAAAUGUAAUUUACAAAUUAUGGUGCUUUGAAAGUAUAUUGACUAUGUUAAGAAUGAUUAUAAGAGAAUUUUUCAAGCGCAAAUCUUAAUAUGUCAAAAUAAAAGAUAUCAUGUCUUUAUGUUUAUAUAAAUUAAAUGGAGUCAUGUUUCAGCAAUUAUAUUUUUCAUUUAUUUUAAUUUCUGAAAUAGUGAUUAUUGACCGGUUAGAUUUUAUCCUGAAAAUAAAGAGUUGAGAUGAGUUCAUGUAGGCGGGAGUAUGUAAUACUCCGGGAGUACGAUAGUCGUUUCCAUCUAUAUGUAAAUUAUUUUUCUCAUUUAUGAAAUUUAAAAAAAUGGGGACCCAUAUUUUAGAAAAAUAAUGGGUGCACCGAAGAGUUAACUAUAUAUAUAAUGGGCCGCCCGUUUUUUUUUUUCAUUUUUUUAAAUGAAGAUUUCAUAAAUGAAGAAAUAAUUUACAAAAGAGGCACUUUACUUAAAUACAUUAAGUAUUAGUUUUAUAACUUUUUAAUGUUGUCAAAUGAGGAAUUGGACUUGGCGAAUUUGAUUUAAAUCAUCAUAACAUCUUCGUAGUACCCACAACAUCACCUAAAGUUCAUGUUUAUCUUCGAAUAUCAACAAACUAACUCCAUCGAUUAAUCUAAUAUUUUGAUUUAAUAUUGUUUCGAUUCCAGGGGCGUNNNNNNNNNNNNNNNNNNNNNNNNNNNNNNNNNNNNNNNNNNNNNNNNNNNNNNNNNNNNNNNNNNNNNNNNNNNNNUUUCAUAAAUGAAGAAAUAAUUUACAAAAGAGGCACUUUACUUAAAUACAUUAAGUAUUAGUUUUAUAACUUUUUAAUGUUGUCAAAUGAGGAAUUGGACUUGGCGAAUUUGAUUUAAAUCAUCAUAACAUCUUCGUAGUACCCACAACAUCACCUAAAGUUCAUGUUUAUCUUCGAAUAUCAACAAACUAACUCCAUCGAUUAAUCUAAUAUUUUGAUUUAAUAUCGUUUCGAUUCCAGGGGCGUCAAAGAGACAAAGACCAUCCCAAAUUUAAAACUUCAACUUGCAAAGAAAUAGCAGCCAUAGAUGUUCACAAGAGAGUCUGCCAAGAAUCAAAAGUCAAAACAAUGGCUACCAGUUUCAUGGAAAAACAUUCGUCCCAUAUCAUAUACAAGUUUGAACAUCUGAUGGGCUCUUGAUCUCAAUUAAUCGUUCGAAGCCCUCUUAUCUCUCGUUUCUCAAUCUGUUGAGUUCUCUGGUCGGCAAAUGGCACAAGGGUAAGUAAUUUUGUUAUUAUGCUUUGAAUCUAAUUGGUACGCAUCGGGUUUAAAUCUGAAGCUUUUGUAUUUCGAAAGCUUCGCCUUGGAUUUUCGAUUUAGUGCAGUAUUUUUGAAUUGCAUGAUUACUUGAAACUACAUCUAUGGUGAUACUGAAAAAUCUAUCCAUAUUAGUUUGUUUCUUUCCGAUUGGAUUUAUAUAUUUGUCCAUCUUCAAAGUUUUCGGUGCGGUCAAUGACGACGAUGAGCUUAGAUUAGCAGUUUGACCGGCGAUGAUUUUAAUGGAGAUUGGAGAACACGAGGCUACUGAUUUGUAUAUCUGUACGUUCUUUCUCACUAUGAGUUUUCCUUAUGCAAUAUCAAUAUGAUUCUUCAUUUGCAGGAAGGGAACUUAAAACUUAAACACACCCCAUGACAAAGCAAUCUCAUUACAAUGUGUUUUACGGCCAUUCAAUUAUUUAAGAACCCCCCGGAUGGCAGCAUCUUAGUAUCAAUAGUUGACAGUGAGAUUCUUUCGCUUCAACGGUGUCCCUGAUUCAAGAGUAGAGGCAAUCAAUACCAAUUAAGUCACUCAGCUUCGGCCUCCAUAAAAAACACUGCUCCAAUUCUUCCAAUCUACUAAUAUACAAUUACCAACACGGCGCUCAGGUUCAAUAGCUAAUUCCCGUCACAGUUAAACCAAUCGGAUCCGCAAUCAAAGAUUGCCUACUGAAGUUUCUCGCCGGAGCGACCUCGCUCUCCGACCAGAUCUAUCAGGGGGUCGUGUCUGCUCGGACAGCACUGCGAUGAGAAGCUUCUUACCACGGUUGAAUCUGAGUGAUCAACAAACUCCAAUACGUCUUCAAAUUAUCUAGCAAAUAUUUACAUCUGAUAUUGGUUUUACUUUAGAGUUGUAAGGGGGUUUGCGAUUGGAUAAUAAUAACUUGUAUAUAUCAGUAGCUUCUACAUCAAAGCGUAUUUUGGAUAUUUUGUAUGUUUUCAGAGGGUUAUAAUGUUGGAAAGUCGUAUUAAUACUAACCAAGAUGAGGUGGAAAGUAGAACCCACUUUUAUAAAUGAGAAUGGAUCUUAUUGAUGUGGACGGUAUAAUAACUUUAAUCAUAAAUAAGUAAAUUUUAUCAAAAGAAACUUAGAUAUUUAAAGGGUUUUAUGAGCUUCUCAUAAAAACUAAAAUUCUAUUUGUCUUAACUAGUAGCUCUUUAUAUAAAAAAACUCUUUUCUUUCAGUGUGAACUAUGCUAGGUCUUUCUUCAACCGUAGCUUGAAAGACUAGUGCAGUAAGCAACAUGUGCUCAGUUUUGUCCUUUGAAUCUCAUUUCCCUAUCAACAUGAACUUCUCUCUCACAUUUUGCGUCUUGCUUUGUCCCUUCAAUCUCAUUUUCUAGAGUUACUGCACCACACAAAAGCGUCGGCAUGAUUUGAAGAAUAUGGGUUUUCAGGUGAGUGGAUUAGGUGGUUGUAGGUUUAUGUCACGACCGCCUCCUUUUCGAUUUUGGUUAAUGGGGAGGCUACAUGUUAUUUCAAGAGUAGGAAGGGGUUUAGGCAGGCAGGGUGAUCUUCUAUCCUGUUUUUAUUUUUAUUUUGGGGAUGGAGGUGUUGUCUCACAUUUUGAACAAAGUUCAUCAAGCGAGGUUUGUCAUCGGAUUUUACAUGAAUUAUUUAAUUUACCGCGUUCAUCACCAUCAUUUGCGACAUUUGUUGCAUAAUUGUAUAACUUUUGGUAGAAGUUUAAGGUGUUUCUUGCAUUUUAAACUUUUAUCUCGAUUUAGUGUCGGACCCGCUCGGGGUCCAUUUGAUGUCAUUUUUAGCAUUUUUUUAUAGAUUUCAGGUACAUGAUGACAUCGAUUACGCAUUAAGCGGAACGAUACAACGUGCAUGGACGAGUUAGGACGAUUUAAAUUAGCGAAAAAUGAAAAGUGCCGAAGGCUGUGCAAAAGUGCACUAUAGGUGUUCUAAAGUGUGGCACACUUUUCAACACAUCUAUAGCGCACAUUAGAACGACAAAAAUGAGUUCUCCACCAUUUUCGUUUUGCCUUCUCUAAUGUUGUUCAACCUUUAAAAAUCGUUUGAACUUAUUACUUCUUAAGGCUAUCUUCUCGACAAUUUCAUCAUGAAUUUCCCAAUCAAAAUAUUCCUUUAUGACUAUCUUAAACAUAUGCUCGUGACUUAGAGAGAAUUUAUGAAGUUCUCUAGUUUAAGAAUAUUAAGAUUCUUGAAUUCUUCUUGAAUUCUUCAAUGACCCUUUUUUAACCAUCCACUUCAUAUAGAGGGAUCUAAAAGUUUUAUGCACAUUUUUUAUUUAUGAAAAUGGUAUUUUAUUCAUCAAAACUGCCAUAUACCACAAAAAUAAGGGUAUACCAUUAGGAAGUUCUUACAGAAUCUGCUCACAAAGGAAACUACAAAACAACCUAACAAAACAACCUAACAAAACAAACAAGGAAUCAGCAAAACAACUAGGCCUUAGUCAUAUAAUGAAUCUCUCUACAAAUCUUGUGGGCAAUGGGCAGAGCAGCAAUUGGAUUCUCCCCCGCAUUCUUGCGACACCUUUCAUACCAAAUGUUACCAAUGAUGGAUCUCCAAAACAGCCUGAACAAAACAAUAUCAUCAUCAUCAUAAUUCACAUCAAACUCAACAAGAUCUCCCCAUCAGCCCACUUGAGGAGCCGAACUUCCAAAGCAAAAAGAGUAAAUUCGUUGUGCAAAAUUACAUUUCUGGAAAAUAUGAUCAAUAUCAUCCAUACCAUUAUCACACAAAAGCAAAUUGAUAUCUAGACUAAGCCCCCCAAAACCAUUUUUGUUCUAGUAGUCAAGCGAUUGUAAAGAGCUAACCAAGAGACCUCCUUCUUUCCUUUUCAGAGCAAUGAAAUGUCAUGUUACUUUGGCCUUCUUCUUACCACCAUCCCCCACAUUUCAAAGAAAAUCACUACAGAUUUUCUCAACCAUUUACAUAAUGGUUUUUGGCAACAAGAAAACAGAAAGUUAAUGUUGACUUAUGGAGAAAAGCACUAAAUUAACAAGUUGUAGUCUACCAGCAUCACUGAGAAAUUUCACUUUCAUCCUUUAAGUCUAACAGUAAUAACAAAUAGUAUUAGGGAGAGGGGAUCCCUCUGUCUCAGACCCUUCCUUCCUUUAAAAUAUCCCAAAACUCCACCAUUUAAUCCAAUACUUAUUAUAACAUAUUUAAGACAUCCUUCAAUCUAGGCAACAAACUGAUAAGGAAAACACAUUGCUUUUAGAAUAGUAAUCAAGUAAUUGAUGUCAACUGAGUCGAAAGCCUUCCUAAGGUCAACCUUAAGAGAAAAUCUUGGAGAAACAUGGCUCAAGUGAUAAGAAUUUACCAGUUCAUGUGCAAGCAGUACGUUAUCUCCGAUUACACGACCCUUAAACAAGGCAGAUUGAGAAUUACUAAUGACCUCAGGCAAAUAGAGAACCAUUCGACAUGCCAAGAUCUUUAAAAUAAUUUUAUACAAGACAUUGCAGCAACCAAUAGGUUCGAAUUCUCGAAUGUUAGUAGCAUUUACCUUUUUUGGGAUGAGAGUCACUAAGGUAGAAUUUACAAUUUUAGGAAGCUUCCCAUUUUGAAAAAUGAGAGUCACAACUUCAACAGUGUCACUACUAACUAGGUGUCAAGUCUUCUUAAAAAAUAUGAUGAGAAUCUAUUGGGCUCAGGGCUGGUUCCAUCUAGAAUGGAGAAAAGAGCCAUACAAUCCUCUUCAUUGGUUACUGGAGCACAUAGACUAUCUACUCUCCCAUUAGGGAGUUUCUUGAUUAACAUAGUAGCCAGAGUAUCACAUAAAUUGCUUCCACAUCUCCAUUUUCAUAGCCUAACAUGUUUUUUGUACAAACCCACUACAAUAUUAUCAAUUUCAUUAGUAUUUAUAACAAGUUCACCUCUAUAAUUUUCAAGUUGGAUAAUCUGCUUACGAGCUUGCCUUGACUUCACAGAACGCUGAAAGAAACCAGUGUUUGAGUCUCCAAGAUUUAACCAAUUCUUUUUUGCCUUCCGACUAUAGAAAGCUUCUUCAACCUCUUUCAAUUUCAUCCAAACAUCGUGACUCUCUUUAGCUUUAGCAACUGUCAAAGCAUCAUGCCUCUUUAGAGCCUUCAUCUAAUCACCAUUCAUAAUUUCCUCCGCUUCAGUCACUCUACGAGAAAGACUAGAAAACUUUCUCAAAUUAAAUUCUCCGAGUCUUGCAUAAAUACAAUCAAACCCUAACCGAUGAGACACAACUAAGCUAAUUCUCUAAGAAUUUAUAAUAGAUUCAUCAUAACUAGGCCAUUUUGUCCAGAAUUUGAAAAAAUUGAAGGAUUUUGGAAGAGAUACAACAAUAACUUCAGUUUCCAACAAAAUGCCACAAUAAUCUGAAGCCCCUGGCCCCAAUUAUUGAACUCUGAUCUUUGUGAAAUUAUUCAUCCAUAAUGAGUUAACAUGGCAACAAUCUAAUCUCCUAGCAAUAGGAUCAUCCACUAUGUUAUUUUGCCAGGUAAAGAAGGAACCCGUCACUAGGUGAACUUCCAACUCAUUACUCACAAUUCAUUCACUAAAAUCAUUCAUGGCAUUUAUAAUACCAAUAGAAUUCGAGGCCUCCGAAGAUGAAGUAAUAGCAUUAAAGUCUCCAAGGGUGGCCAAGGGAAAAUUCACAAAAAGCUUCCACAUCAACAAAUCAUACAUCCUCUAUCGUUCUCUCUCCUUAUUUGCUCCAUACACCACACAGAUUUGAAAAGGUCUAGUACAAGAAACUUGAGCAAUAUUUGAUCACAUUCAAUUGGAUGUUACUUCUCCAAAGAAGCCAAAUCUUACCAAGAAGGCUGCAGUAAUAAUUUGUAAAGUGAUUCCAAAAAGAAAAGCCAUAAGCCAACUUCCUACAAGCUUUAUUACUAGUAAUUUUAGUUUCCAAAAUUCCAAAAACAUCUACAUUAUACUUAUUUAGAUACUUAUUUAUAUACUAGUAUUUCAAGAGGGAAUUGAACCCUCUCAUAUUCCAGAUUAAAACCAUCAUCAGGUUUUCUUACCCCGUUUUCUGCUUCUCUUCAAGUAUUGCUUUUAUUAGAGAAGGGACAAGCGGCUCCUCCAUAAUGAUUUCUUCUUCAGCCGGAUCAGAUUUCUCCCCUUCAUCCAGUAUACUGCUAACAAAUGAUUCAACCAUUUCAUCAAUAUGAUCCUCCAAGCCUUCAACUCCUAAUGAGAAAGAAGUUUUUUCCAGCUGGCUGAUCUCCAUUGUGUUUUCCUGCUGAGUACAUGCCACUUCAUUUAAAAUAGUAGCUUCAACAUCAAUCACUCCUUCAACAAUAAUAGGAGUAUCAUGCUCUUCUGAAGAUUCAAAAAUAUUGUUCUUAAUAAAUUAACCUUAGGCUUCCAUACUUUAAUUUGUUCUUUACCCGUCUCCAAACGUUGAUUAUAAGUACGAUUUUAUGAUAUUUCAAAAAUAAUAUUGACAAGCUCACCCUCAACCCAAAUAGGCAGAAAAGACGGGCAUGCCUUGUCCUUACUUAGACGAAUGCAAACUUUAACAUCCAAGCCAAUUCUCAUAAACUUAUUUAUCGGGGCACCAAUUCUACUGACCAUCCAUUCAAUCGCAUUAAACAGACAACCCCAGCAUACAACGCAAUGCGUAUUUAGAUUUGAAUAUGAAAAGGGUCAUUUACAACCGAAGAACCAAAAGGGAUGCUGGUAUAAUAUGGGGUCUCCACCUCUAACGGAACAGAAAAGGUUGAAUUAUUUUAUUCUAUAGAUAUUGGGACCUUUGCCAAAGUCUAGCUCUUUUUUCCUACUAAAGUUUCAAAUUUAACUGUUGAUGAACAUGCUACACUUUUUUCUUUCACAAUAAGACCUGGACGAUUAUCCCUAACCUCGGUAGCUCACGAGUUUACGUCCAUCCAUGGACGGGUACAAUUUCCUUCUUCUAUCUUAUCUAGUGCCUUGCUCCUUGGCUCCCUACAGCUCUAGCCGCUCGCAGUAAUAGCUUGCGUCUCGGGUGGUGCUGCUGAGCCAGAGGAGGCUCUUUCUUUAUCACCCGAUUCUUGCAAAAAAAAAAGAUAUUCCAUGAUCGGAGCAGGUAAGAGCAUCCUCCUAAUGAAUGAGUUCUCCAAUAUCAAUCGAGCAGUAAAUACCUUCCUCUUGUCUUACGACUACCUCAUAGGUGCCAAUCGGGCUGCUGUAAUUACAUUUAGUCUCUUCAAGCCCUCUUUCCUCGAUUGGGCUGCUCAAACCUAUUCGGAAAGCAAAAGGAUUAGUUUUGAGCCCGACAUUUGUUAAAAACCAAGGAGGAACAUCACGAAGCUUAAUCUAAGUAGGAAUCUCCUUAACCUCAAGAUCCAGAGGGGCAAUACCGGCUUGCUAUUUCCUUAACAGAGUGAUGCAUAUGCGAGGCAUGACUAAAAACCCAGUCACAAUGUUUCUCAAACGAAAAAUCAAUGAGGAAGAAACCUGCCGAGAUCGUGGAAAGCGGAACUCCCCUUUGUAUCCCCAUAAUCUAUUAAUCAUUGAUGAAUAACUUGAGUCAAUGGGAUCAAACCAGAAACUGCACCACACUGCUGAACGCAGACGCUUAACACCCUGGUCGAUAAUGGAUUUUGGGAAAUCAGAGCACCAUCAACAAACCGCGGAAUCUGGGACUUCCACGAACUUUAGAUCUGAUCCCUGUGAGCCAACAAUCAAAGCCCAGGAUUUACCUGGCACCGACGACGAAGCUCCACCACCUUCUAUGCCACUCGCACCGAUCAGAGUCGGAGAAACGAGGGGAGGAAUAGAUUCAAACUCAGGAGACGAGAGAACCAUAGAGAGAAGAAAAGGAAAAGGAGGAAGACAAGCAGCGAGACAAAAGCUAGAGAUCCAGAGAUCCGCCGGCGAUCCUCCAGACAGCGGAGAGCCCCAGAGGAGCGCACCCACAGAGGAAACUCACCGAUGCCAGCGAUCAAACAUCGUGAAAACCAAGCUCAAUUUGAGAGAAUUUCACGCGCCACAUCGCUUGUCACUACGAUUGAUUAAUUGCUAUAUCACGUAUUCAACAUUGCUAUAUCACCUCUUUCAUAGUAUGCUCACUUAAUUUGCUCCAUUUAAUCAUCUUUUUUUAUUAAGUAAUCAUUUAAUUUGCUCCAUUAUAUCAUCUCUUUGAUUAUGAUUAAUUUACUCUAUUUGAUCAUCUUAUGUACUUGAUUUCGAUCCAUUUAAUCGUCUCUUUGAUUAUAUGUGAUUUUCUCUAUGAUCAUGUAUUGAUUGUGACCUGGCAAUUCGGGUGAGUCGGAUCAAUUUGGGCGGGUCUUUUCGGGUUACAGAUUGUUUCGGGUUGGGUCAUUCGGGUCACAAGUAGCUAUUUUAAAAAAUUGACCCUAAUCCUAAAAUUUUGAGUUGGGUUGCGGAUCAUUUCGGGUUAGAAACGCGUUGAGACAUAACAAAAUUAUAUUAAUCAUUAUGACAAAUUUAUUAAGAUAACUAUACUAAACUUUGACUAAUUCAAGUUAAACUAAUAAAUAAACAUGGUCAGAUAUAAAAAUAGAUAUAAUAGUUCAUAGCAAAGAAAACAAACAUAUUUUUAAAAUACAAAUUCACGAUGUAACUUAUAUACAAUACAUUUGUAUUAAUAAUACUGAGAGCAUGAACAAACUAAAUAUUCAUAACUUAAUAGUUCUUUUAAAAACAUUUACCAAUGAUGUCGUCUAAUAAAUAUUAAAUAGAUUAAUGAUUUUUAAGUACAUUCUACAUGGCUUAUGUUGAAUAAUAUUGUGAAAUUUAUAAAUAGUGUAAUAUAUAAUCACAGGAAAGAAAGUAAAAGAUAUUAUAAAAUAAAAAUCAUAAUCAUAAGUAAGACUAAAUAUUAAAAAUCCUUUAAAUGAUGUUAAAAAUAGUGAUUUUAAUAUGCACUAUAGGAUUUUUCGGGUAAAUGGGUAGACUCUAAACCCGACCCUAACCCACCAAAAAAUAUGGAUUGUUAGGUUUAGAUCAUUUCGAUUUCAAGUGGUAAAAUAGCAAACCCAAUCUGAACGGGUUUUAAUUGAGUCAACAGGUUAAAUCCAAAAUUGCCAGGUGUAAUUGUGUUUGAUUUGCACUCUGAGGAAUUCAAAGUUGAACGGCUUCUAUUUAGAAUGAUCAUAUAUCAGUUUUUACAAAGUAUUUUGUUUGCAUAUGAAAAUUUAUUAAAAUUUGAAAGCUACUAACCUUAUCUUAUCUUCUCGAUUUGUCUCUUUGAAGGUGUCCCAUUUUAUAUGAUAUUUUAAUAAGAAGUGGGAUGAAGCCUCACUUGAAUUUGGACAAAGGGAACAUCACUAACAUAAAAUAAAUUGUAAUUAAAUUUUUAUAAUUCUUCUCUCUUCAAAGAUAUACGGCCAGAAUCGUUAAUACAUGGCCAGGGGUAGGGAACAUAGAUGUGUAGUUGCCGAGUAGUGAAGCUAUUUACGCUAAGCUAGUGUGGCUGGUCAGGGCGUACUCUUGGAGCGGGAUAUUUUUUCAAUAAUAUUUUGAUUUACAUACCAUUGGGUAUAAAUGAUUUCAUGAAGUUUUACGGAUCGUUUGGAAUUAAAUGAAUUUUAUUUCAAAAUAAAUUAAUGUGUAACAUUUAUUAUCAAAAUAAAUUCCUAUAUUUGAAUUGAAUCGCCAUACACCAUGUCUCGAAAGUAUUUUAGAAUUAAAUAAAACUAAAAUUUUCUAUACAUACCCUAAUUGGUUUACAAACAUGCAGUAUAUUUUCUUAUUCAGUAAAAAAGUUUAUUGAAUUAGCAACAAUCAUCCCCUUAACUAACAUACUAAUCAUAAAGCACAACAACAAAAAAUGAAAUUAUCAGUUAUCAUCCAACGAAUCUAACAAACAAAACACGGAGUUCUUAAAAAUUAGUGAGCUAUUUAAAGAUCAAUCUUUUAAAACCUUCACUCUAAACCCAUUUUCACUUGAGCCAAGAGAAUUUGCGAAGCAAAUGAGGAGAGCUCAUUUCAUCUUCUUGUGUCAUGUGGUUUUACCUCCAAGAUUUGGCAGCAUGUUCUUGCUUUGUCGAAUCAGACACUUGCUUUCCCAGGUGACUCGAGAACCUUGAUCUAAAGUUGGGAUGUUGCUGAUUUGGAUUUUGCUCACUUCUUCAGAUAAUUAUCUCAUGCUAUUUUUUGGGGUGGUAAUGCGAGAGAGAAACGAUAGGAUUUAAAAAAAUGACUCCUCCAAAUUCAAUGCAUUGGUCAAUAAGGUUUGCUAUAUGAUUGGAGAAUGGCUCUACUCUUUUGAUUUAGCUUCAUCUUCGGGGUUAUAAGUAGGGGUGUAAAUAAGUUUUAUUAACUCAGCCUAUCCUUUUUUUUGUCUGACCCAACUCAACUUUAAUGGGUUGAAGUGAGUUGAGGUGGGUUUUGUUAUGGGUUGGAUCAUCUAAAAAAUUUAUAAAAAAUAAAUCAAACUCCUUAUACUUAAUCUGAAAAACUCAAACUUAGAAUAGCUGUUACAACAAACUCCAUAAACUUCCUCCAUUUGUUAAAACAGAAACAUUCAGAUGCAGGGACUUCAUGCUAGCAACAUAUAUAUCGAUUCAGAUGCAGGGAUCUUGGCUCGUCGCAAAUCUGAGAUCCACGUGGUGAGCACCUGAUGAUUCAAACCAAUCAAAAGUGUUAAACACAUGGCACUUAAUUGAUUAGUCGAUAACUAAUACGGAAGAUUCAAAGCUUCACCUUCUUUUGUGACGAUUGCAACUAUGCUGCUGGAGAUACUCUCCAACACCUUGUCAAAAUAACAACAACUAAUCAGAUAAUACAUUUGAGCUCCUCCUUCCUAUUCAUAAAUAAAUAGCUGUUUAAUUACCCUCCUCCACUCCAAGGGUCUCUCAAGCCAUUGAAGAAGAUGAUGUUGCUGCCAUACCUCUUCAGCACUUCCUUAAUCCUCUGUGAAUUCGGUGGUGAUCCAGUUUCUGCGACGGAAAAUGUCGUACUCCUUGUCGCAGGAGGAGUUAUCAUCGUAGCUCCAUCUCUGUACAAGCCUAUGAGUGCCCAUUCAGAUUUGAAACAUUCAGAUUUGUUAAGCGUUUGAUGAAACUACAUAAAGCCACAAAAAAUUAUCGAUUCAUCAGCUUUUAAAUUCGUGAGUCAUCAUCUACCAUGAUAGCCGUCUCAUCCAAACCCAACUCAUUUAACUCUGUUAAUACAAUAAAAUAUAUACAUAUAAGAUCAACAGAAGUUAUAAAGAAUGGAAAAUGCUAAAAGAAACACAAUGGUUACCCUGCUCAAGUUCUUCAACCUCUUCAAAGGUUUCUUCCAUAUUAAUUGGAGCGGUACUAGAGCGCAACCAAUUUUGGGUACAUAUUAGGCUCUCUACAACUAAAGGAGACAAAGAACUCCGAAAUGCAUCCAAAAUGCGUCCCCCGGUACUAAAUGUCGAUUCGGAUGCCACAGUAGAUACUGGAAUUGCCAAGAUGUCUUUAGCCAUCUUUCUAUAAAGUGAGUCGUGAGACACAUAUAAUCGAGAUGAUGGCUACUCGUCCAAAUAUCAGUAGUAAGGCAAACUCUAACUUUAGAAUGCUUAAAGUAUGAUUUCAACUUUUCCUUCUCACUAAGAAACAACUUGAAACAGUCUUUGGCAACCGUGACUCUACAGGGAUAUAAAAUUCUGGUCGUAACUGUGACUCUACAAGGGAUAUGGAAUUCUGAUCGUAGUGAAUAAGUAUAGUCACGAAAACCUUCACCCUCAACAUGUCUAAAUGGCAACUCAUCAAUAAUAAUCAUCCUAGCAAGUUUCAUUCUUGACACUGACUAAUCAAAUGUAUGGGGUGUGAAGGUCUGAGAUGUACUACUUGCCUCCUCCCUAGGAAGCGGAAGACUACGAUUCUUUUUGUUCAUAUUGACCAUGUUGUAUGGAUAUAUUUUACAUCUUUCUAAAUGCCUCUUUAAAGUACUCAUUCCUUGUGAACCUCUACAUUUGUAAAUCUUUCACCAGUAUUUGCAAUUAGCUUCCCUAUUCUUUUUUUUCUCCCAAUUCACACUAACAAAAAGUUCCCACACAACUUCAACCUAUCAAAAUGUUCCCACACAACUGAAGUUCCAGACAUACCUUGUGUACCCACUUGAAUAUUGGAUGAAGGAGGUGCAUUGCUCUCUUCGGCAUCAUCCAUGGUCUGUACUUCUACUUGAUUAGAAUGAUUAUAUUAAAUCUGCAAAAAAUAGUGAGGGGAUAUGGAUGAACAGAGUACUACAAAUCUUGGUUGUGCAUUCAUUUUGUUAAACAACGUAACUCUAUGCAUCCUUGAAGACCGAAGUGAAGAUGUAUAGGUUGUUUGAUUUUGUACUAAUUAUCAGCUAGCUGAUCAUCUCCCUCUCUGCUAUAACUAAUAACUAUGGCAAGAGACAGUGAUGAUGAUCAUGUUCUGUAAUAAAUGUAAGGCAACACUAUCCAUGUUAGCUUCAUAAUCCUAGCUGAACUAGCACAGUGACUAAUGUUUAUUUUGGAAAAACUCUGCUUCACUGUUCUGCCUUAUAUCUGCUCUUCUUUUAACAAGCCAGAAAUAUAAACAUAUGUUAUAAUUUUUAAUAGCCAGAAACUAAUUAGGUUAAAUAAUUGUGUUUGCCUAUAUUAUCAAAGAAAACCUUCAGUGGAGAUGAUUUGUGAAAGAUUAGGGAUUCAACUCUAGCUAGCCACAAAUCUUUGUAGAUUUUUGCAAUUAUCUAGCCAAGGGUGCAGCCCCCUUCUCCCAAUUAGCUUCGCCACUGGCUCUUGGUCACCCAACUCCUAAUAAGCCUACUGCUAAGGGUCAUACCAAGCCACAACUACGCACCCCAGCCCAAACGUUCGUCCGCCUCUGCUCGCUAGCUAGUAGUUUUUCUAUAUUCUAGAGCGAUUGCUACCCGAACGACCAGAUCAUCUCUAACAAUAAUGGCUAGGAAAGAGAAUAUAAUAGUGCACAUUAUUGAAAGUAGGGAGAGAGGUUAGUACCUGGGUCGUCGUCGUUGUAGCUAGAUCGUUGUCGUCAGUCAGGGGAGAGAAUGAAUUCAGGGAGAAAAUGACUCUAUUGACGGAGGUGGGUGGUGGUGGUGGAUAUCGUCUGAUGGGGAUUUGAAGGAGGAAGAAAGAGUUGGUCUGAGGAUGCAGGAUUCGUGGCCCGAGAGGAGAGAGAGAUUGAGCACGGUCGCCGAGGCUGGGUUGAAAAUAAAUAUUGCCCAACCCUGUUUGUGUUAAAAAAAUCUAGCUCGAAUUGGCUCAUUUUUUUAUGAACUCGACCCAACUCAUUCGAGUUGGGCUGAGCCGAGUUGGGCUUACAGGUUAGUGGGUUAAAUUUACAGCCCUAGUUAUAAGUAGUGGUUGUAGCUUUUCAUUAUCAGAGCGACCUUUGAGUGGAUGUCUGUAAUGUGUAUUGAUGAGUUUUUUUUCCUCUGUUUUGGAUUUCGAUUACCUUCAUUCGAACCGUGCUCAUCUUUUCUAACUAAUCCUUUCGAAUCGGAGUUAGAGACGACAUUGAAAUCGACUUCGAACGGUGGAAAGUUGAAUCCGUAUUUUUUACGUACUGAACCCUGAUUCAUUUUGACUCUUUAUGAAUAAUAUUUCACUCACAUGAUAAAAAAAAGAAUUUGAUCUCAUCAUCACAACUAAAAAGAGAGAAGAGUAUUAGAGUUGGGGCACAUAGAGAGGUGGAUGAGAAACUCUCUAUUUUAUAUCAGGGAACUAAUAACGAGUGGGGAAGACUUAUAUCAUUAAUUUAAUUAAUCAGGGAUAUAUAUGUCAUUUUAUUGUUAUUAAUAAAUUUUUGUAAAAUUCAUUUGAAAAAUAUUUUAUAAUUCUUAAAAAAUUGCUAAUAGUAGUCUCAAUUUCAUAGAAUUUAAAAUUUAUAAUUGAAAAUAAUAUCUUUUACAUACCGAACACAAACACAUUUUAUUUCAAAAUGGAUUCCAAAAAGUUUAUAAAAUUUAUUUAUAUCAAACGGUAUAUUUGGAAUUCAUUUUGAAAUGAUGUAUUCUUGUAUUUGGAAUAUAAAUAAAUUUANNNNNNNNNNNNNNNNNNNNNNNNNNNNNNNNNNNNNNNNNUUUUUAAUUCUGAAUUUUAAAAUUUAUAGAAUUCAAGCUAGUUUUAGAAAUUUUGAGAAAUUAAUGUAGAAUUUCCAAAUAAAUUUAUAAAAAUUUCACUAAUUAAAGUUGAAUAACAUAUCUAUCGCCAGGUUAAUGAUUCGCUGGAUUAAAUUACCCCUAUAUAUCUUCCCCACUUGACCACCACUUAACCUGAUAUAUAAACACAUCGUUUUAAGGAGGGAGAACUGUAACACCCCGAUCAUUUUAGCAAAAGCAUCUCUAAUUUACGUCGUGAGAUUUAAAUAUUGUGACAACUCUUAUUUGACUUGAAGAUAAUGGUUGAAAAUUAUAACUUUACAGAGGAUAAGACAUCAAAACCGAUUAAGUCAAAUAGUUAAUGUUGGAAAUAACAAAACCGUCAGGUAAAGUAUAUGAAUUUGUGGGUGGUUAAGCUAAUCGCAAAUUGGUCAGCAAUCGAGUUGGUUAGUGUGCAUGUUCAUUCCCUAGCUAAUCCGAGAUCGAGGGCCACUAGUAGGACACCGUUUAUUUUCUUAUAUGUUCCACAUCACGCCAAACCACGUCAUUUUAAAUUAAGUCAGAAACCAAAGCACCAUCGUCGUCUUCUCCAUUGAACCAACUGACGAGUUCUCUAUUUUUCCUACAGAAGUUUCACCUUCCAUAAUUGAUGAUUAGACCCCAUUCACCUAAUUCGGUCCCUCCAUUGUGCACUAACUCGCACCAGUAGUCAAUUGAAACACAUUCACAACUCUAUAAUCCACUAGAUCAGUCCCAAAACAUCAUAUCAGAACUUUUUCAGUUUUUCUUGUUGCUCCGGUCAUUUUCAUCGAUGGAGCCGUAUGCUCAGAUAUUAGUUCAAAUAAUGCAACCGGGACCUUCCUAGAGUCAUUAUAAACCCUCUUGGCCGUCUCGAAGAACCAGAAUCUCCAGAAACUAAGUCUCCUCCUCCGGCCACAUUGUUCCAACGAGUUCGACGACAGACAUGGAGUGAGCAUCUCAUCUCGUUUCCAUUCGAUUAACCAAUCCUGGAAGGUAAGGUAUCCAUUCAGUAAUCAUUUCAUACCAAUACUGUUUUGCUAAAUCUAACCCAAAAUCUAACCUAACUCUCUCUUCCACAUUUUCGGAUUAACCAAUCGACUAGGGCCAACAUCAGAAGGAUUCAAUCAUGCCAUAUUUCCUAAAGCAUCUCAUUAGAUUUGUGACAAACCAAGGAAGCUCCUCGUAUCCUUCGUUCCCAAUUUACAAGCCAAGCCCGUAAUAUAUGAGACUCGCCGAAAUGACGAAUGCUUCGUUGGAGUUUUCCUUGUGAAUUGAAGAAGAUGGUGGUAAAGUCUAGUUUUAGUCUCUAUAGAUUAAUUCAUUUUGAAUCCUCAGUAAACUAAUAAUGACCCUUGUAACCCAUAACCUAAAUCUGGAUAGGCGUGGCCCAUAUACUUCCCAGGCUUUACAGUUUAGCCCGGACAACUACAAAAGUGACGUAAUUGAUCGUUUCUUGAACCGUGGACGUAUAUUUAGAAUCGCAAGCGAUGCACCCAAGGUGGGUUGGCUUAAGGGGUAAAUUCCUCUUUGAAUAAUUAAUUUAAUGAUUGAUUAUGCGAAUUAUGCUCUGAUAUUGCAAGGAUUUGUAGUGUUUAUCUCACCAUAUCUACAUGCUUUUUAAGUGACUACUAGCUCAUUUAUGUUUCAAUUCCGUGUGAUUUUGCGUCUCGACAUUGUAUUUCUUAGACCCAAUCACUUGGAUUGUUUCGGUCCAUUUGAUGUGUUUCUUAUAGUAUUUUUCAUCCACAGGUACUUUAGAGACAAUUAGUCUGCUAACAAGGCUACGACCGCGAAUUAGAGCACGGUUGGAGCACGGUUGACGAUCUCUACUGAGGCGCACACGCCUAUUGUGCCACUGCUUUCUCCCUGCAGCAUCUUAUGACAUCAUCCAGACUGCAUCCUCAUACAGUUUAGCAUGGCCCAGCCCAUGAGAGUUGUUGAUAUGUUGGAGGGCGAGGUCAUGUUCUUGCUCAGAAUGACGCAGAGGAACGUGACGGCUAUCGAGGCGAGGGCGGAACUAUACCUUGGGCAGUGGGAGAGCAGAUUGGACCAUGUGGUGUAGGCUGCAGUGGUCAAUGAUUCGGAGAGGUGGUACUUCAAGGCGGAGGACAUUAGAACAGUCCAUUGUAUGUACCCAAGCACUCUUCCAAUUUGUAGGCUUUACAAAGCUAAUAUAGUUUUUAUUUUAAUUUUGCAGAUUGAUGGGUUGGAGGACCUAUCUAUUAGGGUAGCUUCACAAGAACAACUCGGUAGAGAUGACACCGAGGCGGUUUGGCAGUGUCUAUGUUCCAUGAUGCACGCCACCAGAGAUAUGGAGCGUAGGCUUGACGACCCACGUCAUCACCUCCAGAUACCCCCUACAGGAUCGACCCACCAUGCAUACAACCCUAACACCGUUGAGCCACUAAGUCAGGUUGUUGUCCCCAUUACAAGAUGUACACUAUGCCAGUGGAUCCACGAGGUGCAGUUUGUUCUAUGGCCCUACACCCCCGACUUGUCAGACUUUCGUGCCCAGCAACACCCACCCCUAACAGUACUAGCGGGAGAAAAAGUCUCAACACUGGGGACAACAGUCUUCUCAGACAUAGCAGAGGAGACAAUAACAUAUCCAGUCACAAUAAUGGCGCCCCCAAAUACCUUUUGAUGGAGUGAACUCCUCACAUAGUGGGCCCCACAGACACAACACCUGGAAACUCUGUUUGAGACGAUGAUUGAGGAUCAGAUAGUCAGACAUGGCACAGAUCAAAUAGCCCUUCUAAGGCGUCAGCAACUUGGGUGCGACUGAACCUUUCAUAGAACAUGUGCGACACCAGAGCCCACCCCUGAGCAGAUCGCUUGAGGGGGACAUGUCGUGGGUAGAUAAUUUUUGAUUAUUUGUACUAUGUUCUUCUCCUAUUAUGAUUGUAGUAUUGUUGUAUUAUGACUUUAUUAUGGUAGUACUAUGGUUAAUGGUAUUUCCAUUGUACCACUUAAAAUGGAUUGAAAUAAAAGCAACACUGACAUUAAAUGGAAUCCUUGAUGAGACACAUACAUGGAUUAGAUACUGACUUCAACCAUAGAAAACGGACAUUAAAUGGAAAUUAACUAAAUGGACAUUAAACGCUCACACAUUGUAUGACAGCUCCAAACCAAUAUUCAUUUCGACCAAACAUCUUAAGUAAUUUUUUGCGCCUCUCGUCGAAAUACUUUCUUACCCUAGUAAACAUAGAAUAAUCAUCAUAUGAACAAGUACAUGGUGGACAAAGGAAUCAACAUUUGAGUUCACAUUCCUAAAUUAUAUACCUGUAAAACGUUACGCUGGCCAAAGCACAUAUUAGCAGUGCCCUAAUCCCUUUGAACCCUAUGUUAAUACUCUCUGCCAUGUUCGUUGUCAUUAUACCAUGGCACAUGCCCCCAUCACAACAUCAACACACUUGCUCCUUAUUCCUUGGUCUUCUAGGACCUAACUUGUCUUCUUGAGGCCCAAUCUCGCAUCGGCGGCUAGAAAUCCAAUAAGCUUUGCAUUGAGCCUGCGUCUGAAUCCCUCAUUCACUAGAACAGUUUGAAACGCACUAGUGAGCAAACUGGAAGUGUAAACUAAAAAGUGCGAUAUAGUAGCCCAAAAUUUUACCUAUGGCCUUCAAUCGUUCCUUCAUGUUGGGCUCCUUCACAUGGCUAUUGUAAUUGCUUUCGUAGUGUCGGCUGCACCAUCUCCAUACCCAGCCCCAACCAAUUUGGUCCAUCGCAGCUCUAAUCCGGGCAUGGCGAUCCGUGAUGACACAAACGUUCUGCCAGUCUGUCACUAGUUCUUGUAGGCGAAGGAAGAACCACACCAUGAAUCGAUACUCUCUUUGUCAAUGAUGGCGAAAGCGAGAGUCAGGAUGUUAUGAUUGCUAUCAAAUGAACUUUCUAUCAGCAGAGUGCCACUAUAUUUUUCAGUGAGGAAGGUGUCUUCCACAACUAGCAUAGGUGGACAAUGCCGAAAACUGUCGAUGCACGACCAGAAGCUCCAAAAUGCAUACCUGAAUUGCUUAAGUGCACCGCCACCAACGAUUAAGUCGUCCAAGUGAAACUGGACCUGGGGGCCAGGGUUAAGAUGUUGCACCUCAUUGAAGAAAUCUGGAAGUUUGUUGUACCACUCCUCCCAGUUGCCAUAUGUGAUUCCCAUCGCCUGCUGCUUCCCGUACCUCGCCUUUCUGUACGAGAUCUUCCGUUGGAACAUGUGUGAAAUCUCAUCUUGGACUAAACGAAUCUUGAAUUGUGGUCGUGAUCUGACCCGGUGCAUUAUCGCAUCCGCAAUGACGUUCACAUCAAGUUGGGUGGACUUGAUGUUGUGCUCGCAUCUAUCACAUGUGUGAUGUGGGUUCCGUUGCCGCACGGUCUAGAACCUGUCAUCCGCUCUGUUGGUGACACGUAACCUCCAUGGACAGUUAUUAGUUUUGUAUGAAUAACACGUAACCUCCAGUUUCCAAGUAUUUGAGUGAGCCGUCGCCAAGGCUCGACUCCUUUAGAGGGCCUAGUGUUUGACAGCAAGACUUGCCUCCUUCUUUGUGUAAAACUGUUGACCGAUAUAGAAAUCUUCACGAGUGGGGUUGAAAUAUGAGAUUUCAGGACUAUCCUGGUAAUGGUCCAUAGUCAUCACCUUAUUGAUGUUGUCUUCCAAAGUUGUGAACAGCUCGGGUGGAGUGUACUGUCGUGGAGGGGUACGAGACGAUGAUGCAGCUCCUUCUCCAAUUAUGACAUCAACAUCCUCCCCUUCUAGAUUGAGCGGGCCAAUCGGCAUAUCGUUGUCGUCCUCGGUCGAGGCAUGACCAGCAUCCCCUUCCCCAUUGUUGUUUCUAGGAUCGUACUCAACCUCAUUGCAACCUUGUUUUCUAGUGUGACAUCAUCGUUCUUGUGUCCGUCACAAUGAGAGGCCCCAUCCAUGUUCUGUGAACUAGAAGGUUCAAAGUAACCCGUCGUUCAGGAUUGACCACCAGAGCCAUAAACUCUAUCGAUGGCAUCGUCGAACUCCAAAUACAGCUCUGGAUUGUUGCACGCCUGGAAAUCUGAUAUCAUGUUAUAAAUAGCUCCCCAAGAGUCUUUAUCGAUGCAUGGCCGGAGACAGUACCCAGCAAUACUAGCACCAGCCAUCAUAGGAUGACGAUAAUAUACGUUUUGGAGGAUGGUUUCCGUGGGAAUCUUCAUUUUUUUAUGAAACAAAAAAAUCGCUCGGGCGAAGGUCGCUGUUGAACUCAUCUUCACUCUUCGAUAGUGACCACCGCCAUACCCAACUCCGAUGUUUGAGAAAAAAUGUUGCUUCCCAACGGAGAAUGAAUGCAAACUCAACAAUUAUCUACCAAGAAAACAAGAUAGGAGACUCAUAGUAAGGAGACAGAGUGAGGAAAUGGGUGUUCAGGACUUGUGAGUUGUGAGCAUUGAAGGUUUGGGAUUAAAUAGAAGGGAGGGGGUAAUAAUACUGCAGCAUAUUUCCUCCACAAGUAUGCAAGAUUCCCCAGACAUUUUUAGCUUUCAGCAGCUUUGACCACGGGCAUGCAGCUUUCCACCAACUUUAUCAGCUUUUGACUAGAGACCAGCAACUUUCGGCCAACUUUAUCAGCUUUUGACCACAGGCCUGCAGUUUUCGGCAACUCUAUUAGCUUUUGACCAUGGGCCUGAAGCUUUCAGACAACUUUAUCAGCUUUUUACCAUAGCCUGCAGCUUUCGGUCUAUCAUUACCUCUAUCAUUUACUCAGCUUUUGACCAUUUCGGUUUGACCUUCCAAUGAAUUCAAUUUAAUACAAAUUUAAUAAAAAUGGACAUUUUUUAAAGAAAACCAUUUCUUCUAUUCAACAUUGCAUAAGAAGUACAUAAACAUUACACACUAUCACCUUCUCCGCUUAAUACAUUUACCAUUACCGUGUCCCUGAAGAUCAAAUUUCAAAUAAUCCUCCAAGAUAGCAGUAAAAGCAUUGAUGUACUUAUCCUUCAUGCUUAUGAUGGCUUCCCUCUCAGCUUCCCAUUCAGCAUGCUCAGUAGCCAUCUCAGCAUCCUUCUCAGUAAGCUUCACCUCCAUUGUAGCUCUCAUCUCACCCCUCACCGAGUUCACGAUCGUCACCACCUCCAACUUCUUCUCGAACUUACACUUAUAGAAAGGACAUUCAAAGUAUUUCUCAAACUUCGACAUCAGUCUCAACGCACGAAACCCGCAAUCGCAUUUCACUUCUUCUCCGUAGUAGGCGAACAAAUCUUUUGACUCAUCGGGACGGUGUAACUUUAACAAAAUGUUCUCCUUGGAACGGCUUGAAGACAUUUUCACGAAGAGGAGGAAGUGAGGAAUACAUAAGUUGGUUGGAGGGGUGAGUUUGUUUCACCCCAAACUGCACAUAUUAACGGUUAUUUAACGGCCGUUUGAAUAUAGCCAUGGGAUAUGAACUACGGUGCGUCUCGCAUUCUAGGAUGGGUCACGCACUGUAAGUCUUGAUAAUGGCCAAAUUAUGUAAUUUACAUUUCCCCUUGACUGUCUACAUAAUUUCCAAUUUAAUUGUGGUUAAAAAAAUUCCCACAUUAAUAUAGCUAGCUAGAUAGUAACGACUAACGACCAAAGUUAAUCUCAAAGUGAUAAAAGGAACUAUAAAUCGGAAUAGAAUAGCAAAACUAAAAACAAAAGUUGAUGCAGAAAUUUGAUUUGCACGCAACCGAAAGAGUACUGGAGGAACAAACCUCGACUAAGUGAUUGAGAUAGACAUCGAUCUUUUGAUGUUGCUAUCUCCGAUCGAGUACGUACCAGAGUUGAAGUGUGGCAAGAUAUCAAUGGUCAGCAGGCAAUUAACCAGCAGUACCACCAUUGUUGUACCAAGGUAAAUAACACACAUCAACACACAAUUCGACACACUUGCAUGCAUGCAAAGACCCCAACUGCGUAAUGGCCCACGAUUGAGAUCGAUCUCCAUCAUUUUCUACAGUAUUAAUUAGUUAAUUACGAAAACAUAUAAAAAGUUGUGUAUUGAACUAUUUAAUUUAAUAAAGAUAUUCAUUAUUAUAACCAAAGUAGCCCCUCUAUUAUUACAAGUUAACAUGAGCUCCUUUAUUAUGUUUUUUUCGAUUCAAACCUCCAAACUUUACUCUGAUUAACAAUCAAACCCCUCUAUAUCUUUUUUGGUCGCCGAAGUCCAUUUUUAAUGAGUCAACGAGUACAUGUCGAUUUAUGGGCUGAUGUGGUAGUGUUGAUUGGGAUUUCCAUAAUUUUUUGGUAAACCCUUUAUUAAAUGUACAUAUUUUUUAUUAUUUUUAAAAAUUUUCCGUCUGAUAUGAAAAUUAGAGCAAUGUAAUCGGGAAAAGAAAAUAUGAGUAUAUCUACCAUAUAUAAAAUGUAUUUUCAGAUUUUAGAAUUUGACACAUCAGCAUAACCGCCCAUUUAGCCUUCAAUCCAUAUUUUUAGGAAUUCCACCAAUCAAAUCUUUCCNNNNNNNNNNNNNNNNNNNNNNNNNNNNNNNNNNNNNNNNNNNNNNNNNNNNNNNNNNNNNNNNNNNNNNNNNNNNNNNNNNNNNNNNNNNNNNNNNNNNNNNNNNNNNNNNNNNNNNNNNNNNNNNNNNNNNNNNNNNNNNNNNNNNNNNNNNNNNNNNNNNNNNNNNNNNNNNNNNNNNNNNNNNNNNNNNNNNNNNNNNNNNNNNNNNNNNNNNNNNNNNNNNNNNNNNNNNNNNNNNNNNNNNNNNNNNNNNNNNNNNNNNNNNNNNNNNNNNNNNNNNNNNNNNNNNNNNNNNNNNNNNNNNNNNNNNNNNNNNNNNNNNNNNNNNNNNNNNNNNNNNNNNNUAAUAAUUCUCGAGAUUAUAAGUUCGAGCAUUGAGGUUCAUAAUUUUAAAAUUAUAUUUUGACAUAAGAAUUAUAAAGUCAUCGGAAUUAACCGCCAAUGAUAUUAAAACAAGAGUAAUUCUUUAUAUCAACUUUUCUUAUAUAAGACUAUCGGGUCUAAGUGUUAUAUCAAUCAUACUUGAAAAUUAUUGAAUGACAUAAAAUAACUUGGUCAUCGGAAUUAACCAUUAAUUGUAUCCUACUAAAGUUAUUAAUUAUAUUUAGUUUUCAUAUAUAAGACUAUUAAAUAUAAGUGAUAUUUGUGGUUGAUUAAAAUUAAUUCUCCAUUAAAUAUGAAAAUCCCAAUCAGUUUCAUAUAUAAUUCUCCAUUAAAUAGUGAUAUUUUUUAUUACAAAUAUGACUAUUAAAAUAUUUAUUUUUUUAAGGUUGAUUAAAAUUAGUGGAAAUCCCAGUCAGCAGCGCUAUAUCAGCUUACAAAUCACUAUGUACGGGCUGACUCAUAAACAACGGACCCCGACGACCAGAAAAUAUAGGAAGGGGCUUGAUUGUUAACCGGAACAAAAUUUAAGGGUUUGGAUCGAAAGAAACAUAAUAGAGGGUCUGUUUUUGGUAUAAUCCCUAUUCUAAUAUGUGACUGAACUAAGGCUUUUAACUAGCAGCAAUGGGCUGGCCGACUGACGUCUCUUCCGCAUUACAUGUUCAGAGGGCACACUUUCACUCAGAGCCCUUAAGGUAAGAAACUUUAAAAAAAAUUUAGGUCAGAAAUGCGAUAUAAACCGUUAAAUUGAUUUAACUUGAUCUGAUAAUAGAUGUAAUAUAAUAUCUGAAAACGAUACCAUUCUAAAAUACCGAAAUUGAGACGGAUACGGAGGUAAUAGUGACAUUGAAGAUGAGGGCCACUGAUUCUACCAAAUUCGGCUCGUUCAUCGAGCAAUAUAAUGCAUUUCUACUCUUAAGGUUUCCCAAAGAAUAUUUGAGGGUGGAUUGUUAAUUACGAGAAACAGGAACAAGGUGGUACACGAACUUGGUAAGUGAUCUUGUUUAGGUGCAUCAUCUUUUAUGCAUCAUGUUUAAUUUUUUCUACUUGAAUGGAUGAUUUAAUUUGAUCUUCCUAUAUUUUUACUGAUUGCAGUUUUUAUUACUGAGAUGGGAUCGAUAACUUGACCUUCAAAAUUACAUAAAUAAUUGAGGGUCUCAUCCGAAUUGGUGAUUUGAAGUAGAAGAAAUUUAAAAUAGCUAAAAUUUUGAAAUAAAAGAAAGUUGGAUGUAUUUUUAAAAUAAAUUAUUUUAAUGUGUGAUUUAUAAAUAAUUUUAAAUGUAAUUAUUAUAUAGAGAGAAAAUAGAAAUAAAAAUAAAAAUAGAGAAAUAUGAAAAUGCUAUAUUUUAUUGUUAAAAUAGAUAAUUUAAGGUUAAAUAUUCAUCGAAUUCGAAAUCAUUUUCAUUUGAUCUAUCCAAAUCAAUCAAUCAAACUACUUUGAGAGUUAACGACACGUAUCAUUUGAUCCAAUGGAUGCGGUUACAGCAGCUGGCUAGUAAUUGAUGUGAUUUCAGGGAGUUUGCUCCCCAACAAGAAAAGAGAACGAGUGAGUAGUUUUCUGUUUGGUUGGUCAUCAUAAUAUAUAAUAUAAAAAAUGGAAAAUGAAAGGUAGGUAGAGAAAUAAUAUAAGGAUCGGAUGUGGUGAUGCGAGCCUGAGGGUCAGUGUCAGUAUCAGGUGCGGUUGCUGGGGAUUAUUAUUAAUUCAUAUCUAACCAUAUAAUAUGCAUGUAUGUUCUUUUGCUGCUGCCACAUCAAGUUUUUUAGAAUCAAUAUAACUACUUUUAAAGUUUCUUUUAUUUUUUAUUUGAAUAAAAUUUUGAGGAUUAUUAUUUGACGCCAUCACUUUCGAAUUAUAUGACGCUCUCAACUUUGUAAAGACGAAACUAUCCAAAUUUACUAAUUCGAAAAAUUUUGUAUCGAUGAAUUGUCAAAAUUUAUAAUUCAGAAAACUUUGUACCGACGAAACUAUCAAAAAUUUUAUUUCGAUAACCUCUCACGGUACGUUUUUCCUUACAAUUCAGUGAACACAAAUCGGGCUCGAUCAAAAAAAUCGGUCGUAAGGGAUCCCGGUCGGAAGCUCGUUUCGGCCGGAGGCAGCCUCGGGCAGCCGGCUGUUUCGGCCGCAGUAAGUUCGCAAGUUGGCUAGGUUUCCCUCCUCUAAAGCCAACACUCGCAGAGGCAUGUGAAGAGCCCGUAGAAGCGAGGUGCAGAGAAGUCGUGUGCGGAGAAGCUAUGUGGGCGGAAGUCUGUGUGUCAUCGUACUCAAACCCCGGCAGCGGACCCUCAUCCUCGUCAUCAUCUUCCGGAUACGACCUAACCGGGUACGUAACACGAGGGUACCGGUCAGGGGAGCCGUAGAUUUUCAACUUAUUGUUCUUCUUCGCUGCCUCUCCCUCUUUCCGCCUCGAAGCGGUGAUCACUCGCUCUUUCAUCCGAUCUAAAAUGCGUGCUUGCUUUCCUUUCCCUCUCAUUUUCUGGAUCUCAUCGGUUUCUUCCUCUACCGGAUCUCGACUGUGCGAUUUACCUCCACCCUUCGUUUUCGCCAUAUUUUUCACCAAACUGCAUUUAAACAAAUGAACGUUUCUAAUAAAUUCAGAUUCUGUUAAACUAGGUUCACUUAGUAUCCUAAAAAAAUCCUAUACCCUAACUAAGAAUUAUCUAAUUUUCCUAAUUAGUCACUAACAAUUAUCUAAAUACACUAAUUACCCACUAACAAUUACCUAAUUAUUCUAAAUAUUCACUAAAAUUCUCUAAUUACACUAAUCAUACCCUAAAAAUUCUCUAAUUACACUAAUCAAAAUAAUUAAAUUCAUUAAUUAAAAAAAGGGCCAGCCGGUCGCUCGUUUCGGCCCAAGCUAGCUGCGGCCGGAAACUCGUUCAUGUUUAUUAAUCUAAUUUAACUUCAAUCUAAUUUAAUUUAAUUUUGUUUUACAAAAUCGGCAUACAUGUUUAUCAUUUCAUCAUUGAAAUAUUUUUUGUGUACAAUGUAUGUAGGGUUCUGAGAAUUGCAACUCACAUACUAUUUACAUCGAGAGAUACACCUAACUACAUUCCGGUAAACCUGUAUCGCAUCCUUGCACUCCAUCCAACCAAAGAUCGAUCGCCGUUAGGCAUACAUAUAUUAUAUAUAUGAACUAAUUAGACACGACACUAGAUUAACUCCACUACCAUAGACCAACUAAAGAAAUUAAAUCAACCUGGAAAACAAAAUACUGCAUGAAUCAAAGAACUCUAAGGAAUAUGAAGAAAUCAACCAUCGGGUGACAUCGAUGGGGUCGACGACAGAGGUGUUGUUGCUAGAUUCGUCACUCUCUGCAAUUCCCCUACGGAGUUAUGUAGAUGUGACCCACCUGGAUGCGAUGGAUUGGAGGAGCCAGAACAGCCCCUCGCACCAAGAUCUCCUCGUCGUCGCUGUUCAAGAGGGUGAGAUCCUAGAUUUCGAUCGUAACUAACUCAGUGAAGGAAGGCGGUGGGUCGGCUAAGGUCUAUGUUGAUCCCGGUCGGUAUAUCACAUCCACCAUGACAGCUGAUGAAACCGUCGGUCCGCCGAGCGAUGAAGGAGGAAACGGUCGAUUACUAUCCGAGGUCCGGUUUGGAUGGUUUAGGGCAGCCGUCGACGAUGGAUUCUUUCGACCAGAGGAUGGAUGUUGGAGGAUGUCAAUUGUUAUUAGCUUCAAACACUGAAGAUGUCGAAAUUUCAAACCGGUGCUGCAACGGCGGACUCCAACUCGGGAGAGGAAAAAAACCCUAACCGAGAGGGAGCUUAACUACGCAUACACAUUCAAUAUAAUUUAAUUUGUUAAUAACUUUUUAAUUAUUUCUCAUAAUAUUAUUGGGAUUAAUCUUUAGUUACAUUUAAUGAAGUUUAAUAUUUUUUGGAAAAACUAUCAAAUAAAGCACAACGUAUAGGUUUAAUUCAGGAUUUGCCUCAUGCUUUUCGAAAUACAUAAUCUAGCUCAGUUUUCAAAGAAUGUUAACGCUAUUAAGUUAGAAUUAACGAAUUUUUUACAGAGGCUGACAUGAAAUAUUCCGUAUCCGACGUAAAUGGAUGGGGAGACAAUAAAAGUUAAUGAAAUACAUAACCAGCACAAUUAAAAAAAUGAAUGGUGCAGAUUCGUCAACCCAUUAGCCUAAUCCAGUUUUUUAUUUUUUCUUCUUUUCCAUUCUUCCUUUUCUUCAAAUUUAUUGAUUCAAUCAAACUAAUCCAACUCCUUUCUCCUUCUUCUUCUCCAUAGAAAUCCUCAUUCCAUUCAAGAACUCCCAUUAAAUCUCUCUGAUUCCCCAACGAAGUGAAACUCUCAAAAUCCUAAACUAUUUCAAUCACUCAAAUCAUUCAUUCAUUCAUAUGUAUAGAGCCUUCAUUAGGUCAAUUUUUUCUGGUUUGAUUCAAAGUGAAACCCUCAAAAUCUUUCUUCUUCUUCGUCGUCUUCUUUGUAAUGAUAAAAAAACACUCACUUUAACUCCACAAUAAUAGCAAGGUCAUUGCUUUCUCAUGUUUUAUCUUCUUCCUUCUUCUUUUUUACUCUUUGUUCCAACCCAAUGAAAUCAAAACAAAACAACCCAAAAAUCCAAUUAACCAACCAAGAAUUUUUCAACCAAAAAGCUCAGAUGAUUGGAAAGAUUUAACCCAAAAAUCUCCAAGUCUCUGACUGGAGAUUAAAACGAAGAAGGAGCGGAUUAUAUCUAACUUCUACAUAGCUAUUUACUUUAAUAGUAGAUCUUUCUCUUAUCCUUACAAUCUCUUCAUGUCUCUCAAUCAUUGUUAAAUUAACUUUUGAAUAUAAGUAACGAAUUUUAUUCAUUUAACACUUUAAAAUUUGGAUGGCGCGGUUAAUCAAACCAAAAUUGGGGUAGCGUUAUGGUGCCACUAAAAUUGAGGUAAACAUUACAAUCAUUGAUGGUUUGAGAGAUAAACAGAGUGUUAAUACUUCAUUUUUUUGAGGAUAUUAUCCUAUAUAUUAUAAAAGAAUAUAUCAAGCGAUUUGAAUAAAAGAACUAAUUCAAUAGAGAUUAUAUACUUCGAAGAGAAAAUUUGAAGAACAUUGGGUGUAAUCUUAUAUGUAUUAUGAUUACUAAAAAUUUCAACAAAACUUAAUUUAGACUUAAUGAGAUAAAUGUAUUGAUUUCAACUUACAAGGUUUGAUUAAUAAAAAAAAGUUCGCUAGAUAGCAUAAAUAUCAGCAGGGUAAUGUUUACCCGCACUUAGUGGAUGCACCGUAGCGUCCAUCUUAACAAUGCCGAUUUAAAACAUCAUAUAUUUAAAAGAUAGUUAAAAAUAAAUAAGUAAACAGGUCGAUUUAAAUAAUUAAAGAUAAACCGGCCAAUAGGUUGGUGAUUACUCUAGUUAUUAAUUAGGCGAAUAAAACCAUGAUAUAUAUGAUCUCUUAUUUAUGGACAUCGUUACGUUGUUCAAUUAUAUUAUGCACCUAAAAAAUACCCUCAUCAGUAUCAUCUAAGCUUUUUUUAAAAUCCAACUGACCCAUCUCACUUCCAAAUGUAUGCGGCUGAUAACAAGAUGAGAUAAACAAGGCGAGAGAGAAAUCCUGCUAUGACAAUAGGAGUUUUUGUUAUCAUAAGACAACAUCAUUAUUUAUCAUUAGAUAAGGUAUUUGUAUUUAAAGGCUAAAAUAAAAAGGAUAAUAACGUAAUAUUAUUAUUAAAUUAGGAUUUUUAUACUAUUUAACAACUCAUCCACCUAAAAUACUAACUACCGCUAGUUUCUUAGUUCUUCUGGCAACCCCCUGUUGAACCUCCUCCUCACGCUACCCAAAUAUAUCUGCUUCCCGUCCUUCCCAAAUCUCCAAUUAUCAUCUCACGAACCCAGACGAGCGAAUUUUACCCCGCCAAUCAAAUACCCACUAGAAUGAUGGAAUCGUAUUUCCCUAGGUUCUUUCUAAUACUAUUACUCAAAUUUAUUAAGCUAACUAAACCAAGUAACAUUAAACGAUUGUUUGUUUGAAUGUUUGUGUAUCCAAUUAUCAACUAAGAACUGUAUUAUAAGAAAGUAAAAUGCAAGUCAUUGAGUUUUAAAGAUAGGAUGUAAGGUUGCUUGGACUUGAAUCCACUAAAGCUAGCAAUGCAUGGAUGAACGAUAUGCAAUCUCAAUUUAACAGGUUAUAAUGGCUUGGCCAUUUCCUCUGAUAACUUUAGAUCACUCUCGCGUCUCUAAGGAUCUAUCCUACUCGAUCGUAGACUCCUCUCUCGAGCUAAUCUACACCCAAGCAGAAUGCACUAAAGGUGUUUGAUGAAAUGCCACAACGAUAAACGAUGCAAAAAGCCUAGAUUAAACGCUCCUCUCUUGAGCAAACGAGUAACCUAGAGUUCUUCCUAAGCGUCCUAUUGAUCUAUGUUCCUCUCGGACCCACAAAUCAAUGACAAUGAUUCAAUCAAGAUGAUCAGACAAGAAAUAAUCGAAAUUAAGUUUUAGCAAAAACACAUCAUUAUCCUGAAUAACAUCAAUAGCAUAAUCAAAGGGUUAAAAACCCAUCAUCCAUACAAAAGCUAAACUAAAGUUUCAUCUAAUCCAAACAACACAAAGAGUUUAGCCGCUCAUGGUUUCGGAAAAUAAAUCACAAGAGAAGAGAAGAAAACCGGAGAAGACACCAUGUUCAUCAUGGAACCCCCAAUCUUCGACUUGAUGAUCUGUCCUUCACAAAUCGUGGUUGAUUCUCUUGCUUCAAUCGUCUCUCUAGAACUCUAACUCUCUCUAAGAGCUCGAAAAUAUGUGUAUUUGAAGUAUAUCUCGUCCAUAGGAGGUCUCAGAGGUAUUUAUAGGCUUCUGGACCAAGUUUGAGAAGGAUUAAGCUAAAAAAUCUUGUCAGCACUUGGGACAUGGUGUGUUCCACUAGGACAUGGCAGUGUCUCUUCUUCUGCAGCUCUCGGUUGUGGGCAUCAAUAGGAGGAACAAGGCCGUGUUCCCUUAGAACACGCCUUUUUCCUUAAGUAUAUGGAAUUUGACCACAGCCUCAACAUAAACAUUGUAGAGAAUCGAAUUAUCGUUCCAACACUGCUGAUCUUGCAUCAAUUGGACUUUUGAGUGAUGAAUUAUGCUCAAAAUACUAAACAGUGACGUUUUUUAAUAAAAAAAUGUAUUGAGUUGUUCCGGGCUCCCCAUCAUGUCUUGAUUCAUCUCUUGAUGUCGUAUGACACUUGAAAUGUACUAAAAACAUGGAAAACAACACCACAUAGCCCUAAAGGGCCACGUGUAACAAAAUAUCCAUAAAACACCCCAAAACGAUCAAAGUGAGACAUCAAAGCAUCCAAACGUUUUUUAAAGCAGGAAUAAUUGUACUAAUAAUCGAACUCAUCAAACCCGUCAUUAGACAAGUUCAUGUUGGCGGAGUCUUUUCUCUCAUUGCCAUCUAAAUAUCAUGGUUGAUCUGCUUGUUUUCUAUUUAUUGGCGACUUUUAGACACUGCUACAACACCGGAUCGCACGUGGGGAGGAGUUUCAUAUCAGGAGAAGAUAAGCGGGAAGCCAAAGCCGUAGUUUGCAUUGCGGACAACCAUCUGAUUUUUAGAAGGGAAUUUGAAGGAUGUUGCGACAUCAUCAUCAAUUUUAGGGAGAGUGUUAGAAGUUUGAUGACUUCUUUGUAAUUUGUCGUAUUGGUAAUUGCAUUGAUGUUAGGGUUGACAAGGGCGGGCUAGUAUAUAUAUGAUUGUUGUGUUUCCGAACGCGGCUGAAUAAUAUUGAACUCUACCAUUGUGCCGUCGACUAGUCUCAACGAUCAUCAUUGAGGAAACCACGUAAAUUUUGUGUAAUUUGAAAUUUAAUUCUUUCUAUUUUUUGCCCAUCUCUAUAUAUAUUUCGAGUUUUACUUUGUGCAGUCCGUAAAAUUACUAUUAUAUUCUUAGUAAAACACAUAUUACUAUUUUGCUAAAUAACUCGUAUCGUAUUAAUCAUCAAUGGUGGAUACAAAAUUCUCCAACUUUUCGAAAAUCUAAGAGUUUAGCAAUAUCGUUUCCGAAAAUCUCUCUUUUCAUCGAUUCGCUUUUUUAUAAAACUCUAAUCGUGUUGAUAAUUAAUUUAAUAGAAGUAAUAAAUCUAUUUAUUAAAGACAUACUAAUCUAUUUACAAUAUAUAUCCUCACUCAUAUUUUUUUUAUCAAACAGAAGCACCUCCUGUCUUGUUGGUUGACUUAAGCAUUGACGAGUGAAGUUCUCUGGCAAGUGGCUCCAUGUACAAUGAAUGGUUAACAGUUAGCUCGCCAUCUCCACUUCCAGUAACGUAAGAUUGUUUGUAACAGCUGUCACAGUGAGCUUGAUAGAAGCCAGAUCAAUUACCCCCUCCGACUGCUGAUUUCAUAUUAUCAACUCCUAUGGGAUUUUAGUCAAUAUAUAUACAACGAUCCUGCUCAUCUGAUAUACCUACUCCUGAUUGCAUGAAACAUUACAGGCUCCCUUUUUGAAUCCCCACCACUACCAACGUCGUCCAACAACAUUCUUUGCUUUUCAGCUUCUUUCUCUGCCUUUCUCUUUUCGUAUUCAACUCGCUUGCAGUUUUCUUCGUGUGCCCGCGCCAAAAUCCUCGCAAAGUUGAGCAGAGUAGAGACAACUGCAUGCAAAAUCAACUUUGAUCCCCCCAAGAACAUAAAAGAGUAUGCAUUGAGAAACGAAGGAAUGUGAUUAUUAACAUGCUAUAUACCUUGCUCAAAUGGGCAGCGGGUUGGAUCUUCACCGAAAUAUAGAGCUAAUGCAUCUGCAUUUCUACCCUGUGAAACACACACACACACACAAGUUCACAACUUUGCCAAGAGAAAUAUGCAUAUUUCUUAAUAGUGAGUACAAAUUUUCAACACUUACGACAAUUGAAUAGAGCGACGCCAAGGAUUUCACUUCGCCUUCUGCAUAACUCAAGAAUGCUCUCAGGAUCUGGAAAAAAUGUAGGGCAGAAUGGGAUCAUAUAUAUAUGACAAAGUAGCUUCAGCACAUAGCUGGACUAGUUGUCUACAGCAAUUGUAAAAGCAAAAGUAUUACCUUGCAGAAGUAUUCCGAAACUGCACCAUCAUUCUCUGAGGCAACCAACUCCUGUAUAACUUUUUCCAGACCUCUGCUAAUGGCUUGCAUCUCCUCAGCUAAAUACUUCAGUUGUAUCUGCAAAGGAAUCACGCGAUUUAAACUCAACAGUAGCCAGAAAGCCUAGUUAUGAUUGGUGGAUUCCAAAACCAAUAUAGUUUCUUUGAACACAAAAGAGAAACAAAAAAAAAGAGAGUACUUUUGUUGCAGCCUCCAAGCUCACUAGAUCCUUGGAGAAGUCUAGUAAUUCUGGCAGCUUUUCAGCAAGUACCUAUAGCCAAAGAAGUUAGAGCACAAGUCAGAUGGGUAGGGUAGGGUAAAUAUGGAAGCUAUAAAUGUAUACAACAUUCUAAGAAUAAAACUUGAAGUUAACACCCCGCACCUUGCAAAGAUAAUGCAUGAGAGUUAUCUUAUUGUUCCUAGAUCUUGUAUCUGUGAGUUUGAGUAGACUGUCCAGUCGAAAUCCAACAGCAGAACCUAGAGAAUUUGCACACAUAGGCUCAGCCAAAAGUUCAAACUUGAUCACUUGCUGAAGCAUUAAGAAACUCUACAGACUCACCCCUUGCAGUUCCUUGGUUCAAAGCAUUUCCAAGGGAUAGAACAGACUGCAUGAUCCUUUUGAACUUUUUUGAGCUUCUGAUCUGUGAAUACCGAUUGUUGAUGGUGUUGUAAGUUAAAAUGGUCCAAGAAUAUGCCAAUUGAUAAACCAGAAAGUAGGAAGAAAACAAAUGACAUGCCUCUUCAGCCGCUGAAUUCACAACAUUCAAGUUUCUCCUCAGGUCAGAAACCUGAAAUAUAAUAUGUUCCAACAUAACAGCACAAAAUUGUUGGAUGAAGGAAAAGUAAAAAGUCAAAUAAAACCCACUCUGAUUUUCCUCUGACCUGCUGAGAGAACUGCAUCUUGAACGAGAACACCCUUAACUUUGACUCUACACGUUGCACUUUCAUUAACUCCAAGAAGAACUGUCAUGAACAUGUACAGAUCUACUAAAUGAAACUAAACGGAUUCGACCCCCAAGUUAUCAUGGAAUUUAAAAGCGUCACGGAAAUCCACCUGUUCACAUUUUCCCAAGCUUUCCUUGUCUCCUUUAUAACCCUGCACAUUGAAAGAUUCGAGUUUUUGUUAUUAUCUAUCAGAAAAUUUUGAUAAAGAAAGAUGCUUUGCACUUGAUUAGAGUACCUUGAGCAAUUCCAUCUCUUCUUUCGUGGGGCAAAACUUAACAAGGCUAUCGACUUGAUCAACAUCCAAUACUGAAUCAUCCAAAGCAAGGACUGAACUCUGGAUAUGUUCGAUGGACAAGCAAUAGUAUGAGAAAUUAUCUACUUUGACGGUUAAAAUGAUUGUGUUGGUAGUAAUGUUAUCAAUCUUCAGCACAUCAUAAUUCUAACUUCUAAGCAAUCUUAUUUCCACUGUCAAUUUAGUCCCAGAGUAAGGGCAUUCCUGCCACCUAGCUUUUAGCAGCAUAAAUUUCACCAACUUUUAGAAACGGGUCGACUUACUGUCAGCUCAUGCAGAGGGAUUUUAACUUUUGUAAGCAUGAUCUCGCAGUUAUAUGCACGUCUGAGCUCAAUCUGCAGAAAGUAAGGAUUCUUUAGUAAGCAUUAUUAUUAUACAUUAAAAGGAAGACAGAAGAAGAAAUAAUGUGCUAAUUAACAAAGCAGAAACAACAAGAAUUUACCCAAAAAAAAACAACAAGAAUUACCAGUUGAACUUUGUCAGUUUUCAGUACCGAGGUGCGGCGCUUUGAUUUAACUCCAGUGCCUUUCAUAUCAGAAUUUAGACUAGUUGAUGAAAACAGGCUCUCAAGUUCAGAUAUAUCAAAUUCAGGAGUCCUGUCAAAAGAGAAGAAGGAACAAGAAGGAAAUGAAGUGGGCAAUGAUAAAACUUAGGCAAUUUGAAGCACAUAGUUAAAAAUGUGAAGCGCUAUAAUACAUGAAGGUGUCAUUGGACUUGUGAGCCUCAGCCCAUAUACUUCCUUGAGUGACUCUUGUCAAUUUCAACCAAUGAUAUGGCUUCAGGCUGGCCUUUCUAGUUUGCACCUGGUUUCUUGAGCGUCGGUCCUUUCCCCCGAAAGAUGAAAGUGAAGGUGGCCCUGGAGCUGGAGGAGGGGCAUUCCUGUUUGUAGUAGCUCCAAAGCUAGCUUUUGUUAAUCCCUUUGCGGAAGGAGCAGGUGGUGGUUGUGGCAUUGAAGGAACAUCUUCAGAAUUGAUAGAUAUAUUAUUUUGUUUCUUCAUAGGAGGAGUGGGUGGCAAUGGAACUGACACAGGAUGCAGACAAGGUCUAGAGAUGACUGACAAGCUCUUGAAAGGCUGUGAAGAGUGAUCUAAUUUACUGGAAACAACAUGCUUAGCUGAAGGAGAAAGGCUCCUUCCACUGUUAGAAGGUGGGAAAGCAACUGUCUUUUGACUUGAUGCUUUCCAAAGAGAAAGUGGUGGUGGUGGUGGAGCAGGAGGAGCUGCUGAUUGCCUAAAUGGAGACGAACGUAAAGCAGGUAAAGGAGGAAGGAGAGUGGUGGGGCUGAGAGUUUUACUGGCUGGUUUUCUUAUGAAUGCUUUAGAAACUGAAGGUAGUGGUGGAGGAGGUGGUGGUGCUGGUGGUGAAAACUUAACCAAAGGUGAUCUAUAUGAAUUUGAAAGGAAAGGAGGUAAAAGUGGAGGAGGGGGGACUGGAAAUUUAUCAAGUUUUCUUAUUGGAGGUUCGGAAUGUUCAGUGGACGACUCAUCAGUUGCAUUUAGAGUUGAUAGAGCAGGAGCUGCAGAAGCUUUCUCUGUACAUUCAGAUGCUUUAACAACAGAUUGGGAGGACGGUGGAGAUUGCUUCACAAAUUUACCCACAUUUGUAACUUGAGAGGAAACAGCAGUUGGACUCAAACUGACUGAACGUGGACAUUCAUGAGUAGUAGGCGGAGAAGCAUGAUCGUGUAACAAUGCUGUAAUACCAAGGCCUGAAAAGGCGGCUGCAUUAGGAUAUCUUGACACAGUAAUUGACGAUCCUUGCGAGAGAUUAGUAGCUCCUGGAGUUUGAGGGAUUCUAGGGGUUAUGAUCUUUGAUGGAGCAGGCACUUUGAUUAACACACACAUCCCUUGUUGUUCAUUACCCGUCCCUUGUAAAUUAGUCUCCGAAGAAGAAGAUGCUUCUACCGACUUUGCAUCUGAAGGUGGCUCACUAGACAACACUGUCUUAGAUGCAUCAUGAAUUGGUUCUGGAAUCUUAGAUUGCAUCACUGUAUCAAUUGAACCAACGUCAUUGGAUUCCUCCAGAUCUUUGACGGAUACUGCCUUAGGAUAAUGGGAUUCUUUAAUCUCUUUAAUAACUAAAUCAGUUGGAGCAGCAGCCUCCAUUUCUGAGAACAUAACCUUUUGAUCCACCAUAUGAAAACAAACCAAAAGACCAUCACUUGCUUCUAGAUUCAUGGAAAGCAUAUUGUACAGCAAAUUAAAAACAACUGCAACAUACCUUUACGUUGAAGUCCUUAGGUAACUUAUCAAAGUUCCGUAACGUAUCAAUCUGUUCGCGAGUAAGAACCAAAACCUUUGAACUUACAAAAGCUGUAUGAAAUAUAACCCUGAACAUCAUGACGUCCUCUCUUUCCUUAACACUGUCCAAGCCAACACACUCUAUCACAACAUCACCUUCCACAUUGCAAUCAAUUUCAACCUUCACCACUUGACAAUCAGCCUGCACUGACACAAAUAGAAAUGAAGUUAAGGAAGAAUGACUUCAACUUGAGCACAAAAAGGAGCCAUAGUUAACAGCUCUUUACAACCUUCUCGUAAUGCUGGCUCCCAAAUAGCAGUUUCGGAGCCUGAUCUUCGUUAAAAGAGUCGCGACCCAUAAUCCUGAACGCUGGCUUACUACAGCAUCCAUCCAUGUUUAGAGCAAGUGCAAGAACAAUGCAUUCCAGUCUAAGUGUUCUAUUCAAUGGAGGAGGCAACUGAUACCCCACAUUCCAGGACACAUACUCUAGAUACCGGAGUUGUGAAGGGAGCGGAUCAAUGGAUCCACUUGCCAACAACAACAGCUCUCGAGGCGCUUGCUCGUAUAUCGAUUGUAAAGCCCAGUGGUGGUCUGAGGUGCAUUGUUGCUUCUUCCUAUGUAUGAGUAGAGCGGCAAGCAUGAAAGCCAUAGCGGGCCAACCACAAGGCUCGCAGUGAAUCAAGAGGAGAUUGUGCUGUCCAGCAGACAACCAGGUCUGUGCGGAAUUAAGGAAAUGAUGGAUCAUAAGCAUUGGGGGUAAAGGACAACCUGCGUAGUGAGAUGAAUAAUAUUCCACCACAGUCAUGGUGUCGGAUUCAGACAAGAGGCUAGCAGCCAUGUGUCCCUUGUCCCAGAAGCUAAACACCAUGAAUGAGCAAGAUUCAGGGAAGUUCUGUUUAAGCUGCUGAUGAUCCACAAUGCUUCUACUCGUGUGAAGUUUUGUAUCAUCUUCUUCAUCAUCAGUUCCAAGACAGCUGUCGAAAACUGUAAUAUAAAAUAGAGCAAUUACUGAGACUAGAGAAACUGAAACACACAGAAUUUAAGGGAAAAUCUCAAAACGGCUGAAACGCCCAAGAGAAGGGGAAAUGAACUGAAAACCACAGCUAGUAUUUUACCAUAAACCCUUUCAGAGAUCUCCAAGAGAGUAGUAGAAGUGUGGGUUUUGAACUUGUUCAACAGAGCCAUUGGAAUGGAAUGGAGGAUGUUUUUCUUCUCUGUGGUUCAGUAGCUAAAAAUAAAACUAGGAAGACGAAGCAGCAGAUGCAGUUGUCGGAACCCACAUUGUGGGAAAAAGGAAAAGUAGAGGAGAUGGAGGAGGGAAGUCUCUGCCUCGUGUAACAUGGGAAAAGGUAAUGAUUCACAUUUUGGGUUUUCAUUUGUUUUUUGUGCUGAUUUCUUAAGAAACCAUCUUCCUUCCCAGCAGGCCUUAUUCUUCUUCUCUCUGGGUAGUUGGUGUUCUGCACGUACUGCUAAUGUGGGGGUUGAUAAAAAAAAAAGGAAGAGACUUUGCUUUCAAUUUCAAUCAGCAGACAGUUGCUGCUGCUGCUGCCAAUGUGGGGGUAAUGGGUGGUUUCGACAGGUGGGAGAGAUGGAGAGGACAAAGAUUUUAUAGUUAGUUGGGGUUGGUUUGAUAACUGAAUGUGGCAAGUAGAAUAGAAUCCAAGGAAGGAAGGAUCUUAUUAUCAUCUUUCAGUGCAGUAUGUUCUCUCUAGAUUUGUGAGUUUCGACUCCAUUUCUCAUAUUAUUAACAACUCAUUUAUACACUUCAUCUGCACUCAAAUGAAAACUGUCUCUGGUUUACUUUAUUGUAUCUAAAAAUUAAAUCUUUUUGCUCUUUUCCUUUCUUUACUUUACUCAUUGAAUUGAACUUUUGUUUAGGAGAGCCACGUGGGUCGUCGUUGCAGGUGCUGCUAGUGGAAGAGGCAGAGGGAACAUUCUUUGGACGUACUCCUUCACCCUUGUGGACUGACUGGGUUGUACGAAUGUUUAUGUUAGCUGGCCUCAUCACAUAAGCUUAGCAAUAUUACAAAAAAUGGCUCAACUUAUUGGAAAUACAUUUGAUAGCCCGGAUUGUAUAUUUUUGUAGCAAAAGUUAGUCAACGUUACAAUUGACUGGAUGUUAGAGUUAACCGAAAACUUGAUGGUGUUACAACGGAACGAAACAGUGUUGACUGGACGAGACACCUUCAUGUCACAUUGGCGCCACGUCAGUCAAUGUUAGCAGACGAGAAAAGAAACAAAUCAUACAAUGAGAAACGAACCGAUUUCAGAAAUCAGUCAUCGGAAACAAUGACACAUCAACGACUGAACUAUUAUGUGAAUGUGAGAAACUUAUAAUAUGUGCACAAACAGAGUUUGCAUAGAAAACCAUGUUUGUUUUUCUACUUGGGUUCAAACUCUAGAAUUUUGACAAGCUUAUGCCCAUUGUCUGUCAUUCCACUGAACUUUUCUACUAGCUUUAUGCGGCUGUUUAGACAUCUCAUUUUUAAUUUUCUCAGAGACCACACAUGAAAUGGAUAGACGGAGCAAAACUGCUCGAUCAAAUUUGGGCAAAAGGCUAAAAAUAGAGCAGAGUUGAGGACUGUUAGAAUAAUGUGGUGAUUGAUAUGCGAGGAUAAAAUAUUUGGAUGAUUAAUUUAUAAAAUGGCAAAAUUUGUUGGAUUGGAAAGGUAAUUUGACAAAGAAAGUUUAGAAUUUGCAAAGAAGUUUUUUGCUUCACCUUAUUUCGGUUGAAGCUGCUUCUGCAUUCUUUUUCCUUUGUUUUUCAUUGAUUUUUAGUUAAAAUUUAUAGUUUGAAUAAUACACAAAUACAUUAAGUUUUAUAUAGCCUUUACAUGUGAGAAUAAGACAAGAACAUAUUAAUUACAAUCUUAUCUUAUCUAACUAAUUUGAAGGUUAAUCAUGAACUUUGUUGGUGGUUUGAUUUAAUUGUGUGUUGGUGUUUGUGGUGGCUUGGUUGAAAUUAUUGAAGAUGAAAUGUAACUUGUUGAAGCUUCACUUUUCAAUACUCCUCCUUUUGAAGCUUCGACGUUGUAUUUCGAGUAUAUUUCAAAAUUGUUGAAACUUGUUUCGUGAAAGAGGUUUUGUGAAUUUUUGCAACUUGUUUCGUUUGAUCUGUUGUGAAUCAACAAAAACUUGAUGUGUUCCUUUAGUUUGUCUGAUGAAAUGAUGUUUUACCUUGAUGUGCUUGGUUUUGUAAUUGCAUGAAUCCGGAGAGUAAACUUGCAGCAUAUAUCAGGUAAAGUCUGGUGACUGUGAGGUAGAGUAAACUUCCCAUCAAACUUCUGUUUUGCUUCUCAUCCGUUGAUGUAUAGUGAUGUGUUGUAUUUUCGACACCAUUUUUUGGGUGGUAAACUAUGUUUUCAUGUUUUGAAACGUAUUCAAACUCAUGAUUUUUAGCGCAUGUUUAGUUCUCCUGCCCCUCGGGGCCAUAUUACGUUGUUCUGGAUAUUUUUGAUGCAUUUUCAGGUGAUAUACGACGUUCGGGAUAAGCGGGAGCGAAAACGGGUGAUUUGAGCUGUUCGGGGCAAACUUUUGAAGAAUUGGGGAGGAACACGGCGUGUCCCUCCUUUGGAAUUGGCCGAGGAUGUUACAGGGGCGGAACACGGCGUGUUCUACCCCGGACGGAUUUUAAGUCCUUUUCCAUCUCCAACUUGGACCGAAAAAUCUUUAUAUAGCCGAGCACCUCUUUGCACGAAAUCAUCAUUCAUUCUAAACAUAAUUUUGAGUCAUUAGAGACAGAGAGUUCUUAAGACCAGUUGGAACAAGAGAACUUCAACGAUUGACGAAGAAGCGAAGAUCGGCGACAGGAUUGAGAAUUCUCGAUGGAACAUGUUGUCUUACCGGGUUAUUUUCCUUUCUUUUUCCCUUCUUGCUUUCCAAACCAUGAGUAGCUAAAAUUUCCGUGUUGUUCGGAUGAGAUGAAGCUUUAGUCAAGCUUUUGUAUGGAUGAUGGGGUUUUAUCCCCUUGAUUUGUUAUCGAGGUUAUUCAGACUUAUAAUGUGUUCUUCCUAAAACCUAAUUUCUGAUUCAAUUUUGUCUGGCCUUCUUGAUUGAAUCACCGACAUCCAUUUUUGGGUCCAAGAGGAAUAUAGAUUGAUAGGUCGCUUAGGAAGAACCCUAGAUUAUUCGUUAGCUCGAGAAAGGAGCGAAUCAUUAGACUUUUUGCACCGUUUAUCGUUGGUGGCGUUUCAUCGAACACUUUUAAUGCAUUUUUUUCGGUGUAGAUUAGCCCGAGAGAGGAGUCUACGGUUAAGUGAAAUAUAUCCUUAGAGGCGCGAGAUUGAUCUAAGACUACCAUAGGAAAUUGCCAAGCCGUUAUAACCUAAAUAAUCAAGAUAACUUGUCUUUCAUCUACGCAUUGCUAGCUUUAGUGGAUUCGAAUCCGAGCAACCUUCAUUCCAUAUUUGAAACUCAAUCUCUUGAAAUUUUUUCCUUUAAUUUGCAUUCUUAGAUAUUAAUUGAUUACUUAAAAACAUGCACAAAAACAAUCAAACUGUUACUUGGUCUAGUUAGUAAUUCAAUUUGAGUAAUAGAAAUAGGAAGACCCUAGGGAAAUUAACGAUCCAAUUAGAGCAACCUAUUGGGUAUUUAAAAGUGGGGUAAAAUUCGCGCUUCGUAUAGCUGUCUUUUUUUUUAUAGUUUGAGGUUUACCUCACUGUAACAUUGCAUUCUUUAUAUUGAGAUGCUUGUUGCCGUUGACUCUCUUUUGUUGAGAUCGUGUUAUUAGAUCCGAACUUUAAUUUUUCUCGAUCUUCUUUAGCUCCUCUUUCUUUGUAGCAUUUUUUUUUGUCUUGUUGGAGAAAGACUAUCACGUCUUUAAUGAUCUUUCAAAGACCGUUAGCUAUGAAAAUCAUUUGCAUUAGGAACGACUAAUCGUCGUAGUUUUCACCUUUGAGUAUUGUAGGUGAAGGUAAGGAAAUGCUUGUGGAGGUCAUUGUGGUGAUUUUAGGCAAAAUGUAAUUUUUUGGUGGAUUGUGGAAUAGGUAAGGUAAUUUUUAUGGAAAUAAUUUUUGGCUCGUCAGAAUAAUUAGGGCUCUGAUAUUAUGUUGGAUAAUGUGGUGAUUGAUAUUUGAGGAUAAAAUAUUUGAGUGAUUAAUUUAUAAAAAGGCAUAAUUUGUUGGAUGGGAAAGGUAAUUUGAUAAAGGAAAUUUAGAAUUUGCAUAGAAGCUUUUUGCUUCACCUUAUUUCGGUUGAAGCUAUUUCUGUGUUCUUUUAUCUUUAUUUUUCAUCCUUGGUUGAAGUUUGUAGCUUGAAUAAUACAGAAAUACAUUAAGCUUUAUAUAGCCUUUACAUAUGAGAAUAAAUAAUCCGAAUUUCUUUGAGUGUAACUCGUUGAAGGAAUCAAUAAUAAACCUAUUUCCUUUCAUAAUCGCAACAGGUGUCUAUAAAAAGUUUGUUUUGAAGGAGGAGACUUGAGGAGUCUAUAUUUCUCGGAGUGUAACUCGUUGCAGGAAUCAAUAAUAAACCUAUUUCCUUUCAUAAUCACAAUAGGGGUUCGGCCGCCAUCAAUGGUCUAGGGGAAUCGACAUGCCUUGUUUGGCUGACAUUCACCAUUACUCGAUUCACAGAUUUACACAAUGUAACCGCCUCAAGCUCGUUCGUCUCUGAAGAAACAUUUUGGGGAAGCCGCCGCUGGAGACGUCUGACGCCCGCCGUCACUCGAUUGAUUUCCUCACGUAACACCUUGGCAUCAGAGCCAAUGAUUAACCAGCCUAUCGAUGCAACCAUGACGACUACAAACGAUUGGAUCAAUUGGAAGAGACGGCAGCACACACAACUCUUUUCGACACCCUCACCAACACCAUCCAUGACCUCCAACAACGCGAGCAGCAACACCAUGAUUGGCUACCGUGAUAGCUCAAUUGGCUACCUUGCGGCAAGUGCAACCACCACAGCGAGCGGUUCUGGUUCAUGAACCACAUUGAACCCCAGGGCCUCAUGCUCAUAUCUACUUUCCUAAGUUUGUGGGGGAAGGAUAUCCUACGACUUGGAUUUUCCGCGCCGAACAAUUUUUUGCAUUCUAUCACAAUCAAGAGGCGAAAAAGGUGCUACUUGCUUCGAUAUAUCUCGAAGAUGAAGCACAAUUAUGGCUCCAAGUGUAUAGGGAUGCAGGCCAACUACCCUCAUGACAAGAGAUGAAGGCGGGACUCUUAUCUAGUUUCGGGCCAAAUCAGUUCGAGGAUUCGGGGAAUUGAUGAAACUUCGACAAAUUGGAACCGUGCAAGAGUAUCGCACCGAAUUUGAGAGGUUUCUCAUUCGGGCCGGAAGAAUGUCUCUACCUCAACACGAUAGCUGCUUUAUAAGUGGGUUGCGACCUAAAGUUCAGACGGAUGUACAGGUAUACUUGCAGGAGACGGUCACGGCUGCCGUCGGCCUAGCUCGAUUGUAUGAGGCGAAACUCCGAAAGUUGUCGCCGCCCUCGGAUUUGAGACCAUCUGCCAGACUAAUUGCAGCUCCCAAUCAGGAUCAUCAGAUGGUUAUCAAAAGGUUGACACCAACCGAGAUGCGGGAACGGACCGAGAAAGUCUUAUGCUAUAAUGCGAUAAACGGUUCUCUCUCGGGCACCGUUGAAGCAUCUAUUUUUCUUGGAUUAAACGGAGGAUGAGGUAGUAACGGAGAUCAACCAAGAUCCUUUCAUUGAUCUGGAAAAGGGAGAAAGAAGAAACAUGUGUACUAUUUUUGUAUACGCACUCUCUGGUGCCGCUCCUCCUCGAACCAUGAGGGUCAUUGGUUAUAUCCUUGGGGUACCCAGACCAUUCUUCUUGAUUUUGGUGCAAAUUAUAACUCUUUGAGCUCACGGGUAGCCCGCCGGUUGGGUCAAGAGUUGGAUCGAAAUCCUCAAACAACGGUAACAGUGGCCAAUGGAGAUCCAAUUGUUAGUCCCGACCGUAUUUCUGGUCUCAUGUUGAAUAUUUCAGGGAUAUACUCAGUGGCAGAUUGUAGUUUGCUACCCUUGUCUGGAUGUGAUGCAGUGUUGGGGGUGGUAACGUUGCCAGCCUUAGGCCUAAUCCGCAUGGAUUUUGAAUCCGCACGAUGAACUUUAAUUAGGAAGGACGCCCAAUUCAUUUACAAGGGUUAAAGGUUUCACCGCUGCGUUGGGUUGAUGAAGCUACAGUUGUCAAGGAAGUACACAAGGUAGGAGAUGGGUAUGUGUUAUAUGCUUGCUCUGAUCUGGUUGAUGAAGGAAGCAAACCAUCUGACCCGAAGCUUGACGUCUUAUUGUCCCAAUAGGAGGAGCUCUUUCGAGAGCCGACACCACUGCCUCCACCGCGUUCCGAACUCAUCAACGGCAUUAUGAGUUUCUCGUCAUACCUUUUGGCUUGAAAAAUUCCCCGUCGACUUUCCAAUCGUUAAUGAACAAGGUAUUUCGACCUUAUCUGAAUAAAUUUGUGCUUGUCUUUUUUGAUAAUAUCCUUGUGUAUAGCCCGCCCAAAUCUACACAUGUCUCUCACUUGGAAUUGGUCUUCAAAGUUCUUCAUGCCCAUCGACUCUACCUAAAAUGUGAGAAGUUGACCCUCUUUACAACUAGUAUGCAUUAUUUGGGACAUUUAAUAUCUAGCAUAGGAGGGGUAGCCUAUCCUGAAAAGAUACAAGUUAUGGUCGAAUGGCCUCGACCCCACACUCCGAAGGAACUUUGAGGAUUCCUUGGUCUAAUGGGUUACUAUCAAAAUUUAUCCGUGAUUAUGGCAAGGUGACAGCUCCUCUAACUCAACUCCUACAGAAGGGAAGAUCUGAUUGUCAUCCAACCGCAGACGAGGCUUCUGACCAGGUUAUGACUCAAGCACCGGUAUUAGCUCUCCUUGACUUCACUCAACCAUUUGUUAUCGAGUGUGGUGCUAGUGUGAUUGGUCUUGGGGCAGUAUUGAUGCAAGCACAACGACCAAUUGCUUUUUUCAGCCAGGAAUUGUGUGGCCGCACUCUUCAAUUGGCUACGUAUGAGAAAGAGAUGAUCGCCUUGGUCCUUGCUGUAAGAAAAUGGAGGUCGUAUCUAUUAGGUUGACACUUUGUGGUUCACACAGAUCAACAAAGUCUCAAAUACCUCCUUAAGUAGAAGAUUACUACAAAUACCCAAGAGAGAUGAUUGACCAAGUUGUUGGGAUAUGAUUUUUAUAUCAAGUAUAAACAAGGCAGUGAAAACAAGGUGGAAGACGCCUUCUCUCGACAGUGGGAGAUAGCUGCCAUCACUACUCUGGUGCCCUCGUGGAUGGAUACGGUGCAAGAUGAAGUAAAAAAAUGGUGAUACCUUGCCAACUUUGAGCAACAACUGUUUGGAGGGAAAAUUUCAGACAAGUGGACGGUAAAACAUAGCGUAUUGUACCAUCAUGACCUCAUUUAUCUCCUUCCUACAUCAGCACUUGUACCUGUCAUCCUCCAAGAAAUGCACAACUCAACACAUGAAGGAGUUCACAAAACCACCUACCGAAUAGAAGAAGUGUUUUAUUGGCGCAACAUGCAUAAUGACAUCAAAUCAUUGAUUCGACAAUCCCUUGUGUGUCAACAAAACAAAACCGAGAAUCUAAAGCCAGCUAGGCUGCUUGACCCAUUCUCCAUUCUAAUAGAAAUCUGACGGGAUAUCUCCAUGGAUUUCAUCGAAGGUCUAACGAAAUUCCAUAUCAAGAAUAUGAUACUUUUUUGGUUGUAGAUCGACUCUCCAAGAUGGCACAUUUUUUCCCUCUUACACACCCAUACACAACGGUGACAGUUGCAGGUGCAUUGUAACACCCCCAACCUUUUUCGACAAGAUAUUGUUCGCUUUGGGCAUAGCUAAUCCCUCAUGGAUUUAAUUUCAGGUGUAUAACAGUGACUUCCCAGGAGGUCACCCAUUUCUGCACUGCUCCCACCUGAGCACGUUUAACUUCAGAGUUCUUACCAAGAACUCCUCGAUUUCACCCCGAAAGCGCGUCUUGUGUUAGAGACGAAUUCUUAGUUAUAGCCCAUGGAUCUCUCCCGUGCUUUGUCGAUGUGGGAUUUUCCUAAGGUGUUAUAUUACACCCCCCCCCCCCCCCCCCCCCCCUCCACCCCCCAUAUGUCCUCUGCGACCUCUACCCCCCCCCCCCCCCCCCCCGGCCCGGGGGAGAGAUCCAUGGGCUAUAAGUAAGAAUCCAUCCCUAACUGACAAGAUGCAUUUUCGGGGUGAAAUGGAGGAGUUCUUGUUAAGAACUCUGAAGUUAAACAUGCUCAGGUAGGAGCAGUGCAUAAAUGGGUGACCUCCUGGGAAGUCACUGUUUUGCAGCCAAAAAUAAAUCCGUGAGGGAUUAGCUAUGCCCAAAGCGGACAAUAUCUUGUCGGAAAAGGUCGGGGUGUUACACGCGCUAUACACUGGCGUCCUCAAGCUCUACAACAUGCCCGCUAUCAUAGUUUGUGACCGAGACCCCACCUUCACAAGUCCCUUUUGGAUUAGGCUCUUCCGCCUCCAAGGGAAAGCUUUAAUUUCAGCUCUGCAUAUCACCCACAAACUGAUGGGCAAACGGAAGCUGUGAACAAACAAAUUGAGAUGUAUUUAUGAUGCUUCUCCGGUGAUCGACCAAAACAGUGGAUGACGUGGUUGUCAUAGGUUGAUUUCUGCUACAAUACAAGCAUCCACUCCACGACUCGCCGCACUCCAUAUGAAGCGGUCUAUGGGAAAGACCCUUCAACCACUCUUUCUUAUGUUCCCCUCAAUUUUAUGGCCCAUACCAAGUGAUUCGGCAUAUCGGCAAGUUGGUGUAUGAGCUGCAGUUACCCCAAAUGCACAGGGGUGCAACCAGUUCCUCCACCUGGAGAAGAUAAUGUUUUCGAUACACACACACACACACGUCGGGGGAGACUCGAAGUCCUUGUCCACUGGAGCCACACGUCACCCGCAGAUACAACCUGAGAGAACCACGACAAGUUAGCGCACCAAUUUCCCACAUUCUUGCGAAAAAGAAUGUUUCGUAGAAGGGAGGCAUGUUACGUGGAGAUCCAUGUCGGCACCGUCAUACCUGCCAUGUCAACCGCAAGCUUAUAUAGUUUAUUAUAUUUAAUCAAUUAUCCUUGUUUAUUAUUUAUUCGGAUUGAGAUUGUUAGAGUCAUAAUCGAAGUAGUAGUUUAGCUGUUAGCAAGAGUUGGUUUGAAGGAGGAGACUUGAGGAGUCUAUAUAUUUCUCUGAGUGUAACGCUUGAAGGCAUCGAUAAUAAACCUAUUUUCUUUCAUACUCAUACCAGGGGUUCGGCCGCCAUCAAUGGUUUAGGGGAAUUGCCAUCCCUUGUUUGGCUUUAUCGACAUUCACCAUUACUCGAUUCACAGAUUUACGCUGCGUAACCGCCUCAAGCUCGUUCGUCUAUGAAGAAACCCCUUUGGAAAGCCGCCGCUUGAGACGCUCGACGCUUGUCGUCACUCGAUCGAUUUCCUCACGUUACACGUGAUGACGCUUCCAUUUGUCGAUGCUACGAGAUACUCUUAGUGUAGUUCAUUACCUUGCCAUGACGCUUUCGGACAUGGCCUAUACUAUCAUUAGCCUAUCGUAUCGUAACAUAUGCAUGCCAAAACCAAUACUUAUUGGCAACAACUAAAACGGGCGUUAAGAAUAUCUUGCCAGCACAUCCAACCUGGGUCUUCACAUUCAACCACUCAUCCCCUUGUUGUGAUGCCCAUGAUCGACGAUCCACAAUCGACUAUGUCAUCUAUCUUGAGCACAAUAUAAUAUCUUGGUUGAGAUCAAACAACGCACAAUUUGCGAUCCUCCACUGAAGCGAGUACCAAGCAUUGGAUAUCAUAUCCUCCGAAAUUCUAUGGCUACAUUGUCGUUCAAAGAAAUUGGUUUUCCAGCCAUUUCGUUUCGUUCAAGUUCUCUAGCGUGACAACCUGUCUGCCACCCAUCUUGCAGCGAACCCAAUCUUCCACUCACACAACAAACAUCUUGAACUAGACUUUCAUUUCGUCUGUGGGCAAAUUGUAGCUAAACAACUCGUGGCCCGAUACAUAUCGACAAAGGACCAGCUUGUCGAUACUCUCACCAAGACACUCACCACUACUCGCUUUGAGUUUAUUCUAUCAGAACUUUAAGUACAUCCGCCAUUCCGCUUGCGGGAGGAUGAUAAGGAUACAGAUUAGACAAUCCUUUCUUCUUGUACUCUUUCCUUUUCUUAAUAUUCUUUUGUAUAUUCUUAAAAUCUCUUCAUAUUGUAUUAUUGUUGGGAGAUUUGAUGUAAUUGAUCGUAUAGUAAUUAUCAAAUCUUGUACUCAGUCUUUGUGACCAAGAUUAGUACAAGAGUUCCCCUAAUUAUCUUCUAGAGCGUAUAUAUUGAUUUAUCAAUUAAUCGUUAAUGGGGAAUUUUGAAAAUGGUCGUCGUCUUCUUCAUUCAUACUUAGUGAUCUAACAACCAGACAGCCAGUAAAACAAAAAUCCGACAGACGAUGAACAUUCGUCCUUAAAUAAAGUGAAUUUCAGAAGUUUGUUCAAAACUUUCCCUCCGAAGUCUUCAAAAUAUCCCCAGACAAAAAAAGAAUAAGAAGGAUUCAAUCAUUCAUUCAUCUACCCACCCUGGUUCGGUUUCCAAAAUCCUUGAAGUUGCUAUCUCGCAAUUAAGUCCUUCCCCUAACCAAUUUUCCCCAUUAAUUAUUAUUGUGACGUCUUUGAACACACAAUACUUUGAUUUUACCAUGGCAAUCACCACCACACCUCCACUUGACGACCACCCUUCACUUCCCAAUAAUUCCUCUUCCACUUCCGCCAACGCCUCGCAUCGUCGGUUGCGUAUCUCCGACAUCCUAGCCUCUCCUCUCGACGACGAAGACGACCAACCGGAAGAAGAGGCUUUCCUGAUCCGCCGCCGCAGUUUGGGGAUGGGUGAAGGUAGUUUUCUCGAGGGUCGUCAUCGCAAUAGUAGUACUUCCUACCAUUGUUCGUCCCCUUGCCGAGUUGUCUCCCGGUGGUUGUCAUGGAUGAGACGGUCUAAGACCAAAAGGAUUUCCGGAAAAUGCUCCAGAAUUGAAGACGGCAGUAGGGCUGAGGCGGAAGAGUAUAAAGAUUUGACCGCGGUCGUGAUGCAGCCUAGGUGUUCGAUGAAAGGUCUCAACGAUGGCUUCUCGGAGGAGAACGGUAAGCAGUUGUUGGGUUGAUAUAUUCUCUCGCAUUUUUUGCUCUUCUUUGCUCAAAAUUGAAAUUGGGUUUGGAAAUUUUCAGCUUCAGGGGAUUCCAGUAGGAAGGAGGUUUCUUUUAACGCUGGGAUCGGAUGUUAUCUUCUCUACUUAGUGGCGGCGACGAGAAAUGAACUUGACAGGAUCAACGGCGCGCGAGUGGAAAUGGAGACUCUUCUUCAGAAUACCAAACGGCAGCGGCGGAGGAGCGCGGACAGAAAUGAUGACUAUGAUGAUAUUCUGUUUGAUUUUUCGGCCGGAAGAGCUAAAGAGCAUCAUCAUGAGUUGGAGCCUCAAGUUUCUACGGAGAUUCAUAUGAAUAAUUCUUAUGCUUUGCCAGCUUCCUCAGGUAGCCAAGAGUCCGUCAAUUGCGAGAUUUCGAAAAGGGAAGAGUGUAUGGAAGACAUGGAACAUCUAGAGGUGGAACUUGAAGCUGAGCUACAGCUUUUGCAGCUCCAAUUGGAUCGAGACAAGUUGAUGGAACGUUCACAACUUCAAAGGGUAAGAAUUAAUACAGUUGGAUGAAUUAGCCAAUAAAGAACUGAACCGUGAACUUGAAUGUAGUUGGUACGGCUCUUAAGAUUGUUCCUUUGGGAAUUUUGAAUGAUACAGGUGAGAAAUGAGGAGGAGAGUUGUAGUAGUAUAUCUUCGAGAAGCUACAGCAUGAUUUCAUUAGAGGAAGAAGAAGGAGAAGUGAUUGUUUGUGAUCCAGAGCAAGGUGGGUUUUCUCCAUAUGAAUUGGAAAGGAGGCUGCACCAAGUGCUUGAGACAAGACAGGAAGAGGAAAUCAGGGAGCUGGAGGCUGCUUUAGAAAGUAUGAAGCAGAAGCUUCAAGUGAAGGAGAUGGAGGUUUCCUGGUGGAAAGCUGCGGCAGCAAGAAGUGGAGGAGGGCUUCAUUGUCCAGAGACUACUGAGAUUGCGUCGUCGUCUUCACGGUUUGUUACAGAGCAGAAGAGUUGUUGCGAACAAUGACAGUGUGGUCGUCGUCAGAGGGUGUUUCAAAAUGGUGCACUUCGUACAUGGAUGGGUGAUGCUGAGAUCUAUUAUUGUUUUAGGUGUGUGGUAGUGAUUUUGUUUAUUAUAAUUGGUAUUGAGUGAUGGCUAACAUUCUUGUUAGUCUUCCUAUUUUUUCACAAGAAAACGUAACUACUUCAGGUACCAAUCAUUGAUUAAAGAUAGGAUUUUCUGCAAAGUUAUUAUUAUUAUUAUUAUUACAUUAAAGAUAAUAUAAAGUAGUUGCUAAUAUACCAAUAAUCAUCAAUCAGUGUCCAGUAACAAGUAUCUAUUUUGUUUUAUCGAAAAUAGUUUUAGUUAUAUUAUUAAAUUUUUUUUGCUAAAUAAUAUUCAAUCUGUCAAUGAUCUUCAGGGAGGAUUAUAACUCUUAUGAGUGAAGCCUGGACCCACAAAAGAGUAGCAUGAGCUACAACAUUCGUACUUCCAAUUAUCCCUAUAAUAAUAAACCUUGAACCAAAGUUGACAUCCCAAACCCGAUAAUAGAAAACAAGGAAUAAAUAUUCAAACAAAAAAAAAUAUUUGAAAUUAAGAAAGCUGUAAAUGAACCUUGAACCAAAGUUGACAUCCCAAGCCCGAUAAUAGAAAACAAGAAAUAAAUAUUCAAACAAAAAAAAACAUUUGACAUUAAGAAAGCUGUAAAUGAACGGUGGAGCCCGAAUUGGGGACACCCAAAACAUCAAAAACUAAAAAAUGUCGAUACCUCGAAUGAGUUCUUUCCAAUGAAUCACUCCUCAUGACAGGACCUGUUGUUCAGGCCUGCUGGUGCCACGUUUUUUUAUGUUCCUGUACUCUCGAACGCCGCCGCCAAUACUUCUUCACCUAGCUUAAAGGCGUCUUUUCCUCGUUCCUUUUCAUCACCGUCUCGUUCUAGUGACACCAUUUCCAUCUCCGAUUUACCGCGGAGAGAAGGAACCAUCAACUCCAACCCUCUUUUUUGGUUAAAAAAAAUCCUAAUUGACGUUUGCUACAAAAAACCCUAAUCACUCUUUGUGGCAAGACCUGUUGUUCAGGUCUGUCGGUGUCAGGUGUUUUUGGGUGUUCCUGGAUACCCUCUUACGCCGCCGCCAAUACGUCUUCACCAAACUGCAGCACGUCUUUUCCUAGUUCCUCUUCAUCAUCGUCUUGUCCUGGUGACACUAUUUCCAUCUCUGAUUUGUCGCGAGAAGGAACCUACAACUCCAACCCUCUUUUUGCUUUAAGAAAAAAAAUUCAACUAACUUUUGCAUAAAAAACGUAAUAAUUUUUUGUACCGAAAGAGGAGUUCGCCGAAAGACAAAAAGAUGAAUGAUAAAAGAACGCGAUCAACAACGUUACCACAAAUCUCUCAAUUAGAAGAAUACUAAAUUCUGACCAGACGAAAAAAAGGAGGAGGCAUCGAAACCCUAGAAAGAGAAGCUCUCGGCUGUUUUCAUAGUUGUAGUAACAAGUUUCUAUUAGUUAGUCAUAAAAAGGAUUGAUAUAAAUAAGACUAUAUUUUUAUAGAGAAAGUACGCGUUUAUAUCCGCACUUUUUUACUAAAUGUUAACCGAAUUCUUUAAACUUUGACCGUUUUAACAAAUACACCUUUUUAUUAGUAUUUUCAUCCAAAUUCUGUUUAAUAUGUUAAUUGUACACAUCACAUAAAUUUAUCCUUUUAUAAGGCAUAAUUAUUUGUUGACGGGAAAUUGCACUAAACUUAAAAUAUAUUUUUUUCCAGUAAACUAAAAAUGAUUAAAAACCUAAAAGUAAAAAUUCAAAACUAAUUAAAAAGCUCAAAGAGACCUCCACAUACAGUAAGUAAGUGAAGGCUCAUACUUUGUUUUGGGGUAAUUUGGAGAUGAUUCAUAGAAUGGUAAUGGUGGUUCUCUCAUACAAAGNNNNNNNNNNNNNNNNNNNNNNNNNNNNNNNNNUACAAAGACUUGAAAACGAGAGAUUAUAUAACUCUAGUAGGUUAGUUGUUGCUUUAAUUUCGAACUAUUUCCCAUUGUCUUGUUUGAGUUGUCCUCUGCCGUUUUUGUCUUGUAGGGUUGUUUUGGGGUUCAAUUUGGUAGUUGUACUUGAUUUGCCCAAGUGGUUCAAUCACACUGGGUUGUGUUGUGAUCUAUAUAUGAUUAUUAUUAUAAUAAUAUAUUAUCAUGCAUACAAUUGGCAUGAAAUGAAGAAGAUUGUAAUUAUUGCACUCAAUUAGUAAUCAUUUGUAUUGUAUUGUAUUGUAUUGUUUUGUGUCUUUGUGGUUUGGUUGGGACAUGAGACAUGACUGGCUUGUCAGGGGAUGUGUGUCUCUGGAGAGGUUGAGGAGCGUGGGGGGUUUUAGAUUAUUUAAUAUCAAUUACCAAAGAUGUUGGGUACCACGUCCAAACAUACCUACCUCCUAAAAUGCUACUAACUAACUACGUGUUCCUCUCGUUACAAAUAAUAAAUACAAUACACUGGCCGGUAUUGCUUUUGUUGUGGGGGAUUUUUUUUAUUUUUAUUUUUUCGAAAUAAGAUUAUUUGUAGUGUUAAUGAGUGAGUUCAAAAUAAAUGUUGUUAAUAAAUUUCUUACACUAAUUAGGAGGCGACGUACCUAUUAAGAUGGGUGUAUGAUUGUGAGAGUGACGAACAAGUUUAUGUGCAAGGUCAUUUUUAGAUCUUCUAACCCAAUUUAUCGCGAAACCUCAUCUCCAUUAUCCCCAAAUUUGUUUCACGAUUGAUCAUGAUGAUUUGCUAAGUACAAAAUAUGCGUUUUCAGUUAGGCUGGAGUUGCGAUGUGUAUAAAUACACAUCUCUACACAGCCUUGAUUACACAUAAUGAAUUAUUUUCCUUCUUUCAAAUUGAAUCUUUUAGUCUCUUUUUAAAAUUCCAACACUUGAUUCAUUCACCUUGAAUUUGAGUAUUUACCGUGAUUAUUCUUUAGGUUUUAGGUGAUAUUUAGAAAUAUUAUUUCUAAGACAGUGUUUGAUGAUACGAUCACAAUUCUUAAUUUUCCUGGUCCGUUUAUCGUUGUUUUGAUAGAUUAACUUGAGAUUUGCUUUCGUGUUCCUUAUUCUUUCAGUAUUUAUCUUGUGUUCUGCUUAAGUUCUCAGUGUUUAGAACUAUUAUUCCUAUCAAUGAUGGCUCCGAACUCCGACAAGUCUCUAUCUUCCCCAAUUACUCAAAGAAAACCAUGCAACAUUAUAUAUAUANNNNNNNNNNNNNNNNNNNNNNNNNNNNNNNNNNNNNNNNNNNNNNNNNNNNNNNNNNNNNNNNNNNNNNNNNNNNNNNNNNNNNNNNNNNNNNNNNNNCUGUUUGUCGAUUUAAAUUUUUUCUCUUACCGUACUAUCGAUAACAUAAAUAAUUCAACUGAAUCGUAAAUAAUUAUCAAUAAGUGCUUAAGUUUUCCAAGACUAAGAACAAUAGUUUAAACAUUUUUUACAAUCAACCAACAAAUUUAGAUUACUCACUAGUCUGUCGGCUGGUUUAUGCUAAUUUUAAUCUAUACUGUGUUUAAAAUUUAUCGAAUGAAGUUCAACCUAUAAUUUAUAAUGCUAAUGAAUAAUGAUUGGUCAUCGAAAUUAAAAAACGUAAUAAACACCUUUUGAUGAAUAGUUGAGCAUAAUGAGAAACAUAACCUCUAUUGGGCCAUUAAAAGAAUCUUGAAAAGAAAUCAUGUUAUGUGAGCUAUGCUUAGAUGUUAUGGAUAUAUCUCAUUCAAACCGACUCAACCCAUUAGAAUAAUCUUUGAAAAUAGGGACAUGGCAUCUCACCCCAAGGACACCUUCGGCAUCCAGGGGUCGCUGACCGACCAUAGAACCCUGUUCAAUAAAUAUGUAGAACGCAUUAGGUGUCCACUCUCAGGUUGGGCAGUAAGGGUGGGAGAAGGGCAAUUACUCAUUCUUAAAACCAGUAUCUAUAAGACCAAAGAGUGGGGCGGAAAAUGGGGGCAGGGGGAAGCUCUCUAUUCCUAGUUUUCCUAUAGUUGGAUCCUCCAGAACCACAAGAAUCUUUAGUUAGAAUGGGAUUUGAACUCAGCGCCUUUUGAGAAGAGUUGCUCUUUGGAGAGCAUAGUAUGAUGAAAGUUAUGAGUUGUGUUCGGGGAGGGGGGGAGUUAUUGUCUAUCGUUGGCCUCUAUUGUAGAAUCACCCGAGGGGCCCGCGAGGCAGUGGUUUACCCUGUGGCGGAUGUCAGCGGUUCGAGUCCGCUUAUCUCCAACUCGUAAACUUAGCUGGUACAAAGCUAUACGAUAGCACCCAAUUCUUUUGAUUCGGCAGUUCGAUUAUUAUUAAUCAUCCAUGGACGCUGAUAAGAUCCUUCCAUUCAGCAGAGCCAUAGGAUGGCAUAGCCUUAAAGUAAGGGUGAGGUUCAAACGAGGAAAGGCUUACGGUGGAUACCUAGGCACCUAGAGACGAGGAAGGUCGCAGUAAGCGACGAAAUGCUUCAGGGAGUUGAAAAUAAGCGUAGAUCCGGAGAUUCCCGAAUAGGUCAACCUUUCAAAUUGCUAUUGAAUCCAUAUGCAAGCAAGAGACAACCUGAAAACUGAAACAUCCUAGUAAUUAGAGGAAAAGAAAACAAAAGCGAUUCCCAUAGUAGCGGCAAGCGAAAUGAGAGCAGCCUAAAACGUGAAAACAGGGUUGUGGGAGAGAAAUACAAGCGUCGUGCUUCUAGGCGAAGCGAUGGCGAAUUUCUAGUAGCCGAAAACCUCACUAGCUUACGCUCUGACCCGAGUAGCAUGGGGCACGUGGAAUCCCGUGUGAAUCAGCAAGGACCCCCUUGCAAGGCUAAAUACUCCUGGGUGACCGAUAGCGAAGUAGUACCGUGAGGGAAGGGUGAAAAGAACCCCCGUCGGGGAGUGAAAUAGAACAUGAAACCGUAAGCUCCCAAGCAGUGGGAGGAGCUCGGGGAUCUGACCAAAUUCCAGUUGAAGAAUGAGCUGGCGACUCAUAGGCAGUGGCUUGGUUAAGGGAAACCCACCAGAGCCGUAGUGAAAGUGAGUCUUCAUAGGGAUUGUCACUGCUUAUGGACCCGUACCUGGGUGAUCUAUCCAUGACCAGAUGAAGCUUGGGUGAAACUAAGUGGAGGUCCAAACCGGCUGAUGUUGAAGAAUCAGCGGAUGAGUUGUGGUUAGGGGUGAAAUGCCACUCAAACUCAGUGCUAGCUGGUUCUCACCGAAAUGCGUGGAGGCGCAGCUGCUGACUAGAUAUCUAGGGAUAAAGCACUGUUUCGGUGCUGGCCGCGAGAGCAGUACCAAAUCGAGGCAAACUCUGAAUACUAGAUAGGACCUCAAAUAACAAGGGGUCAAGGUCAGCCAGUGAGACGAUGGGGGAUAAGCUUCAUCGUCAAGAGGGAAACAGUCUGGAUCACUAGCUAAGGCCCCUAAAUGACCGCUAAGUGAUAAAGGAGGUGGGGGUGCAUAGACAGCCAUAAGGUUUGCCUAGAAGCAACCACCCUUCAAAGAUUGCGUAAUAGCUUAUAGAUCGAGUGCCCUUGUGGCGAAGAUGAACGGGGCUAAGUGAUUUGGCGAAACUAUGGGAUGAAAAAAUGCAUCGGUAGGGGAGCGUUCCGCCUUAGGGGAAAGCACCCGCGUGAGCGGGUGUGGACGAAGCGGAAGCGAGAAUGUCGGCUUGAGUAACGCAAACAUUGGUGAGAAUUCAAUGCCCCAAAAACCUAAGGGUUCCUCCGAAAGGUUCGUCCACGAAGGGUGAGUCAAGGAAUAAGAUCAUGCCAAAAGGCGUAGUCGACAUACAAUAGGUGAAUAUUCCUAUACUACCCCUUGUUGGUCCCGCAGGACGGAGGGGGCUAGGUUAGCCGAAAGGUGGUUGUCGGUUCAAGGACGCAUGUUGUCCCUUUCAGGGUAAGAAGGAGUAGAGAAAAUGCCUCGAGCCAAUGUUCGAGUACCAGGCGCUGAAGUAACCCAUGCCAUACUCCUAGGAAAAGCUUGAACGACCUUCAACAAAAGGGUACCUAACCGACACGUGUGGGUAGAUAGAGAAUACCUAGGGGCGCGAGACAACUCUCUCUGAGGAACUCAGAAAAAUAGCCCGGUAACUUCGGGAGAAGGGGUGCCUCCUCACAAAGGGGGGUUGUGUGACCAGGCUCGGGCGAUUGUUUACCAAACACACAGGUCUCCGUAAAGUGGUAAGACCAUGUAUGGGGGCGGACGCCUGUCCAGUGCAGGAAGGUCAAGGAAGUUGGUGACCUCCGGCGACCCAAGCCCCGGUGAACGGCGGCCGUAACUAUAACGGUCCUAAGGUAGUGAAAUUCCUUGUCGGGUAAGUUCCGACCCGCACAAAAGGUGUAACGAUCUAGGCACUGUCUUGGAGAGAGGCUCGGUGAAAUAGACAUGUCUGUGAAGAUCCGAUGGUGUCGGUGGAAAGACCGUCUCUCAACGGAUAAAAAUUACUCUAGGGAUAACAGGUUGAUCUUCCCCAAGAGAUCACAUCGAUGGGAAGGUUUGGCACCUCGAUGUCAGCUCUUUGCCACCUGGGGCUGUAGUAUGUUCCAAGGGUUGGGUUGUUCACCCAUUAAAGCAGUACGUGAGCUGGGCCCCCGGCAGCACAGCCGAGACAGCGAUGGGUUCUCUGUCCCUGUGGGGAUGGAGCGACGGAAGUUUUGAGAAUUUAAGAAAAGGUCACGGUAUGACGAUCCAUUUAUCAUUACGAUAGGAUUCAAGUGGAAGUGCAACGAUGUAUGCAGCUAAGGCAUCUUAAUAGACCGGCAGACUUGAACCUUGUUCUUACAUGACUCGAUCAAUUCGAUCAGGUACUCGCCAUCUAUUUUUCUUGUUCAAUUCUUUGACAACAUGAAAACACCAAAAGAUCUACCCUCCCUCUCUAUCUAUCCAAGGGACGGAAGAGCGGAGGCCUUUGGUGCCCCCUCCAGUCAAGAAUUGGGGCCUCGCAAUCACUAUUCGGGCGUCCCAGGUGUAGAAGAACAACACCAAUCCAUUACGAACUUAGUGGUUAAACUCUACUGUGGUGAAGAUACUGUAGGGGAGGUCCUGCGAAAAAAUAGCUUGACGCUAGGAUGAUUCAAAGCUUAACACCCCAAUUCUUAUUACUUUUUCAAUAUGACAAAAAUUAAAAGGUCUUCUUAUUUAAAACACUAAUUAUGAAAUGCCUUCUCUCCCACUUCACACUGGGGAAAGUGCCGUUCUUAUAGAGAGAGAAGGCGCUUUUGACAUCUUCUUAACCUGAAAUGGUUGGGGAGAGGAAAGCUUUCUUUUUUAGGGUACUUCGGGAACAGAUCCAGUGGAGAUGGGUGGGGCAUGUAGCUCAGAGGAUUAGAGCACGUGGCUACGAACCAUAGUGUCAGGGGUUCGAAUCCCUCCUCACCCACAAUCGGCCACAAUGUCAAGGAUUCGAACCCAUUAGUGUUCUAAAUUGGUUAAAAGUUAAUACCUUGUAGCGUACUUAACUUACGACCUAUUACCAUGUACCCUUAUGUACCCAGAAUUUAGGUGACCAUUGCCAUAUUUUUUUCAAAACUUGUGCAAACAUGAUUGUCUUUAAAAUAAUUGAUUGAAUGAUAUAAAUUUUAAAACAAUAUAUGAUUAAGAAGCAAUUAGGUGUACCUAUAAUUUCAUUUCUCUAGUAUUUCCCAUUCUUAUUCCAUGGCAUUUUUCAAUAACCUGACAUAAAAUGCUAAUUGUAAUAUAUAUAUAUAUAUAUAUAUAAUAUGGCAGUGGUCACCUAAAUUCUGUUAUAACUUUAAAUUGCAACAAUUAAUAUGUAAAAUAUAACAUAAUUUGACCCAUUNNNNNNNNNNNNNNNNNNNNNNNNNNNNNNNNNNNNNNNNNNUUGCAGUGUUAAAACAAUAUUGAAAGUUAGAUUGGUUAGGGUGAUUUGAUAUAGUUUACAAAUGAACAACAUAUUAGCCUCGUUUAGUGUGACGUCAGUGAACAAGAUGAUUGAAUAUACUUGAAAAUGUUGGGUGUGAUGUGCAUGUUGGUUAUCAUCCCCAUAAUGACAUAACGUUCAAUAUUAGAUGGAUUAUUUUCCAAAACAAUCCAGNNNNNNNNNNNNNNNNNNNNNNNNNNNNNNNNNNNNNNNNNNNNNNNAUAACGAACAACAUUUGUGAAUUAUUUUGACUAACGUAUGAAACGUUAUGGAAGAAAAACUAAUUAAAAUGAGAAAAAAUAGAGGUUCAAAAUAAUUAAUAAGUUUUCUUUACAAUAAAAGUGGUUUGUGGUUUGUGUAUAAAAAAAAUAAGUUGUUUGAAAAAAACAAUUCUUUCUAAACUUAAUGAGAAGCCUUCAAAAACCUAUGUAGUAAAUUCAAUUUUUUAUUUUCCUGUAUAUAGUUGUAGAGAUAUAUGUAUAGAAAAUAUACAAUUACUAAUUGUCAUAAUCAGUUAUGAUUUUUUUAUAUUUUAUAAAAGUAAUAACCAGUUAUAUAUUGAGCGUUAUAUGACCAAUAAAAUUCAUAGGCUGUAGGCUCAUUGUUCGAACCUGUGAUUUUCUCCUACUAGCUCCUUCAUUCUAACUCCAUGCAUGUUUUCUGGAAAUUAAAACAGUUGACGUCUUCAAUUCACCGCUAGCUGCUCAAGUUCAAUACUAUGUACCGUUUGCUUUCUGAAUGCUGAUGAUUGUUUGUCUUGUGUUGAAAUUGGCUGAGGGACGAUGAAUCAAUUAGAUGCGUCAAUGGAUGGUUAAUGUAUUUUUAAUUGUCUGCGUUGAACUCAAACCAUUUGAGGCAUAUAACUUUUCUGGCUUCUGCCACAUUCCAUUACACGUUGAGCUAGUUUUCAAAGCUUGUACCUUUUUAGAAAUUUUGUUGUGAAAUGCAGUAGUCUGUUACCUUUGGAUGUCCGCUUACUACCAAAAGGCUUUCCACUCAUUAUGCGAAAUACUUGGAUAAUUUUGUUUUAUAUCAAAUACUUUAUACUUGGAUAUUUGGAAAAUGGAAUUUUUUUUAUGAUUUUAAAUUUUAAUAGAAAAGGAUAAAUAGUGAAUUGAUAAAUUCCAUUGCAGCGGUAAUUGAAGAUGCUGACAAAGGUAGUCCGUUUUUGAAAAAGAAAAGGUUUCCGCAGUUGAAAAUUUAAAUAAUUUGAAGAUAGUUNNNNNNNNNNNNNNNNNNNNNNNNNNNNNNNNNNNNNNNNNNNNNNNNNNNNNNNNNNNNNNNNNNNNNNNNNNNNNNNNNNNNNNNNNNNNNNNNNNNNNNNNNNNNNNNNNNNNNNNNNNNNNNNNNNNNNNNNNNNNNNNNNNNNNNNNNNNNNNNNNNNNNNNNNNNNNNNNNNNNNNNNNNNNNNNNNNNNNNNNNNNNNNNNNNNNNNNNNNNNNNNNNNNNNNNNNNNNNNNNNNNNNNNNNNNNNNNNNNNNNNNNNNNNNNNNNNNNNNNNNNNNNNNNNNNNNNNNNNNNNNNNNNAAUAAUUUCCUUAUAUUUGCUUAUAUAGUUGUGUAAAUUUCAAAAUGAGAUGUUUCAUAAUUUUUAAGACUUAUAAUGAAAUAAACACGUGUCCCAUUUGCUUGACAUCUUCAUAUAUAGACUUUGUAAAUUUUUAAUUUUUCUUGAACCUAAAUUGAAAAAUUUCAGUCAAUCAUUUAUUUGCAUGCAUUUUGGCUCAUGGUCCUCAUAAAUAGCUAUGAUAUUUAGCGCUACACUAUACGCAAAAUGUUUGUCAACAUUAACUUCAUGCAGUUCCAAUAUUUUUCAUACAAGAUAGAGAUAGUUGAGAUAUAGGUAUUCAUAUUUUUCAAAUCAUUCUUGAGCACAUUAUUUGUUUCUCUUGGUGCUUUUUCUAGAAUAAUCUUAAUCUCAAUUUGACCAUCUUGAUAUAUAGCUUCAUUCCACUUUGAGGAUUAUUUUUUUUACUUUGAAACCGAGUGGUCUACCACGCUCUAUGCGGUUUGAGACUCAUUUAUGAUGUGAUAUAAAUCGAAUAUCGCAGUGCAUAUAACUAUUGGUCUUUCAUUGCCAAUCAGAUAUCGCAGUGCAUAUAACUAUUUUUUUCAAUCAAACUGUGAUAUAAAUCGAAUCUCACAAUAAACAAAGUUCCAUACCUGCUUAAGUAGUAGUGUUGCCUUUGAUUCUUUCAAUUAACCUUGAGGAAUUGAUAACUUAAGAUGUGUUACAAGUUUGAGGAAGCUUCAUUUAGCAGAGAAGCUUUCAUCUCCUACAUUAAUUUAGUUUCUUAAGAAGUGCCAUUUUGCUGAUUGUAUAUUCCCGCUCGAACAACAAAAUGUCAUGUUCCUCCCCACAAAACAAAAAUCGACCAUUGUAACUGGGGGAAAAAAGAAUGGGACUUGAAUAAUACACUUUAUGUUUGAAUUCGUCACUCUUUUGAAAAUAUUGCUAGCUAGACAGAUGGAUAUUUCGUAUAACCUCGUAAAUCUGCAGAAAAGCAAGGUAUCUCCAAAAAAAUCGAAAUUCUCAAAUCAAUUUGAGAAUACAGGAAUCAAAACGGGUGUUCCUUUCCAUAAAUCCAAACUCGGCCACUAUAAUUGCAAAAGCAAAGCAAAAUCUUUCAUUCUUAAGCACUGAUAACGGGAACGAAAAAGAGGCAAAAGUAAUCAGCACAUGCCUACACUCUUGAAGCAAGAAUUUUUUGGUGAUUUUUGAUUUUAUAUCUCGGUAACUGCAAUAAAAAAACAAAAUCUUCCAUUCUUAAACACCUUCUACCCAACAUUCAUAUGUAUUCAUGUAUCUCGCUUAGAAGAAGAAGAAUAAUAAGUGAUUGUGGGAUUUUGAUUUGUAGGAGAAAAAUAAAAAUUAAGAAUUUUUUUUAUUGAUUCUGAAUUGAGAAGCAAAAAAAAGGAAGUUACCCGUGAAAAAGAGAGAAGGAAAGAUGGAUGAGAAUCGCAGAAGGAAGGUUGCGAUAGAAAGAGGAAGGAAGACCCCAUCCGAGAAAACAAGAGCGAAAGGGAGGUUGUGGGAUAGAGGAGGAAGAUUUACUGAAAUCUAUUAUCGUACAAAAACUCAAAAAAGGAAGAGAAAGAUCGUGGAAAAAGGAAGUUCUUUUGGAAAAAAUUAAUUAAUAAAAAGUAAAAAUAACUUUAAAACAUUUGAUUGGUACAUAAAAUGAAAACGUAUAUAUAAAUAUUAGAUAUCUUGGACAUAAAGCUAUAAAUUAAGAGACCUCUAAGAAAGUUGUUAUAAAAAAGUUUCAUAGAAUUCACCAAUCUUAAUUUUCAAGCGCUUGAUGUCCGCUGCAUGUGCCAUACAUAUUGUGAUCCACUUCAUCAUCUUCAAAUGCAGCCUUGAGAUAGUAAUUAUUGAUAAACCAAUAGAUGCGCAAACUGAUAAGUUAUAUUCAGUUCUUUAGAUCAAACUUUAAGCUCAUAUCACAAGCCAGAUAAAUCGGCCAUGAUCUCCAUCAUCUAACAACCAUGCUUAUCUAACUGUUACUGGACUAAAAUGUAAAGCUAACAAAAGUUCAGUGACUAAUAAGAUAAUAUAAAUAACUUAAUGAUCAUAACUAAUAGGACGCAAUUUCAUAUCCUAACAUAUCCUCCCCUGAAUUGAAGCCUCUUAGCAAUCUUCAGUUCAACUUCACUCAAACAUUUCUAUCUCUGCUCCAUCCACCAUUCCAAGUCUUUUACAAAAUAGCUGAAAAGUUCCAGCUUAAGUGCCAUUUGUGAAACCCGUCCCUAAUCUAACUAGUCCUAAUUCUUAUCCUAAACAUGAACUAUGAAACACACACAGAGUUCAUCGUUGUGAGCUUAUGCUUGAAAAUAACAACAGCCUGUGUAGUAGAUCACACCCUACUGCACAGCCUGAAAUACUCAACUGCAAUUCACAACCACUUGUACAGUAGAUCGCACGCUAUUGUACAGUCAUGAAAAUCCAAGUAUGGACUCCUAACACUAAUUACCAUUCUUCGUAUAAAGCAGAAAAGUAAUCCUAACCCCUACCUCUAAAAAGCUUUCCACUGAAGACUCUGGUCUGAAACCGUCUCCCUAAAGCUCGAUUGCUUGAUCUGAAUGACCUAUUGAGAUCAACGUAGGAUUGAAAUCCCAAAAUCCCCAACUCCUAACAUGACAGGAUUUUCCUACGUAAGGAUUCAAAUCAAAGGAUUGAGAAAGCAGGAAGAAGAUAGAUUACCUUUUGAAACUUUCUCAAUGAUCUCUAAACCUCUCCUACUAGUCUAGGAUCGAUCAACAAGGUCCUCAACUCUGCCUGGAACCAAUAGUUAUUCGUUAGUAAAAUUGCAAAACUAGGUUUUUGUAAAUCUGAGUUCUGGAAAUCGCGACUCUGCUUUUAUAAACAUUCCACCACGUCCGUGGUGGCAUGGCAACCAUGCACAUGGCCUACUUGGAAAGGAGUUUGGUUCUAGCUCAAACUACCUAAAGGUUGGGAUGGACACUUAAGACACCUGAUAUGAAGAAGAAUCUCCACUAGAUACUCGUAGGAGUUUGUGGAAUGAUCAUGCACACGAACUACCAUCACUAGAUUGCUCAACUGAGACUUGGUCCACUCUAAUUCAAGUUGUCUAGUAAUGAACACAAGGUGUUUGACGAAAUGCCUAGGUGGUUGGAAGACCUUAGAGACCUCACAAACACUUGAAAAGGGUGCUAAGUCACUAUUUGACAACCCAACCAUCCCAUCCAUCAAUUGUAUCACUCAAUUUAGGGAUAUCCAGAAUGCACACUAAGUGUUCGACAAAAUGCCACUAAAGAAAUCUUAUCACAAGUGGUUGACUUAGGGUGUGGCUUGGUCCACACAAACCUUACUUCUAUCGUUGAUUAACAACCUAACUCCAUUCAAUCAAAAUCAAUCAAAUAAAAGAGUUAAUUUGACCUAAUUUAAGCUAUAGCAUACAUUAGGUUGAAACCAUCAUAAUCCAAUCACAUCAGUCAUUUAUUCAUGGCAUCCACAUGUCCAACCCUUUACUUCUAGUAAUAAUCAUACCAAGAACAUACAUCCAAACUAAAUAACAACAAAGAACUAGCUAUACAUGAUCAUCCAAAGAGAAGAAAAGAAAAAGUGAAAACAAUCCAAACCCAAGUUGUCAAGUCAGGAUGUACUUGCUUCAGCCUUCUCUUCGACCUUCUAUUCUUCAAUCCAAUGCUCUUAGCUUCCUUGACCUUCAAUUUGAUCAUCAAUUGUGUCUUCUAGGAUUUUUGGAAAGAGGGAAGUUGAGAGAAAAAUCCCACCCAAAAGGGUGGUGAAAGAUGGAAUGAGGGGUCUCCCUUCUCUCUCUCCAUGAUUUUGGGCUUAUGAUUCAUAUAUGAAAAGCUUUAGCUUCUUCCUACCCGUGUCGAUUUGACCGAGUGAUAAUGAUUUCAGAGAUUGGAGCUUAAAAAUCACAAGGUCAAAAUUACAACUAUCUCUCUCUCUCAUGUUCCAAGUGAUUCAGCUGUGGAGCGGUUUAUUCAAACUUAGAUAGACAAAGGAUAUGUACUUUCAAGACGCAUAGUAUAUGUGCAUUGUUGUGUAAGUUGGUGUUCUUACUUUGCCUAGUUGGUUCUAGUUUAGUACUAUAUACGUAUAGGAACUCUGCUUCGAGCUUUAAUUUCUGAUCGAGUUUAUAGGGAAGCAACCCUCUCCCUUUAAGAAAUUGGAGAAUAUGUACUUGAAGACCACAUAAUGUACGUACAUGAAGAAGACCGGGAGGGAGGAGGGACUUACCUUCUAAUUAAUUUUGAAAUGAAUUGAAUUCCACAAAAGUUUAGUGACUCUUUUUAUUUUCAAAUACUUACUCAAUUCUACCAAAUUGCUAAACUAGUUUCAAUUUUGCAGAAUUCAAAAUUUAGAAUUGAAAAUUGAUUGUUUUACAAAUAAUAACAAAAACACUCAUUUUGAAAUGAAUUCAUUAAAUUUAAAUUUUUAAGGAAUUUAUUUAUAUACUAAUUAGAGGGUUAGAGUCUUUAUACUCUUUUAAUUUAAAACUUGAUUUAAUCGAUAAAAUGUUGAAUGAAAUUCGGAUAAUACAAUUUUUCUUUUUAUAACGGGUGAUUUCAUUGAAAAUCCAAAGAAAAACCAUACUACAAAACUUUCCUCGUCCCAACACGAGGAGCAGAAAGAUACACGAACAAAACACAAGGCACAACUAACAACAGUUUACAAACCAGCUGCCGAAUCCAACGCUAGUGUUCCUUCCCAGCUAAGCAAUUCGAUCGACCAUCCGAAGUCUCGAUCUCCGGAAAAGAGACACCUCAAUCAUCAGAUACUGUUGUAAGGUAUCAACAACAUAAGCGACCAGCGCAGCACAAAUACACGGCCACACUUGCACUGGUUGUUGCAAAGCCUCCACCAAAGUCGUACAAUCGGACAGAAUGUUAAUCGAACCAACCAUGGUAGCUGCAAGUUUGACUGCAGCAAAUAACAUGCAUGCUUCCGCCACCAAUGGCUCCCAACAAAAUAGACACCAUGCUCUCCCGCCAAUUACGAUCCCAACCGAGUUGAAAGGAAUCACUCCAUAGCCCGCCUGCUGGACAUCGUCUUUGAACGAGCCGUCACACAACAGAGUAAAAUCGUACCUGUUCGGCGGUUGGGUAUCGAACUAAUGAGUUGAAAGAGGAGCGGGCCGAGUACACUGCGGGGCCUUCGAGUAAGCCACCCACAGACCAACCUCAUUACGCAAACUGAGAUCCAUUGCACCGACAUCUGCUGCCAGGUUACUAAAAACCCUUUCACUCCGACACUUCUAUAACACCCAGCACGCAAAGGUUGCUGUUACCGGCACCCUCUGAUCAGCGACAUUCAUCAAAUAAAAAAACCAAUCUCGAAACUGCGACAGCGGCGUAGGGCAACAAGGGCUAGGGAGGGCAACGGCCAGAAUUCUAUGGCUCGUGAACACGCAAACAAGAUGUGGGAAACCGACUCCUCCACUCCUCCACAAGAUUGGCAAUCAGGUGAACUCGCACAGCGUCGCCUGAACAGAUUUUGCUUAGUCGCUACAGCAUCAUGAACAAGCCUCCACAAGAAGAAAAACGAACCUUUGGUGGCAAUUUUAUCGAGAGAAAGAAUAGUAACUGGAGGGGAAUUGGUGUAGUUUAUAGAGAAUGGAAUGCGAACAGUAAACUACAAUGAUACCCUUGAUUUUUUAUUUUUAAUUAUCCAGAACUUGUUAGUUACCUAUCUUUUCUAUAUUGUUUCAAUUUUAUCGAAAAAGACAAGAUUAAUUAGUUAUUACUAACAAUGUAAUGAAAAGUUGAUCAUUAAAAAAGGUUACAGCUGCUAAUCACUAAGCUUUAUAGUCAUCUGCAGAGGCAGCAGCACCAUGUGGAAUCCGAACGCCUAUCCAUCCAGGAUGAACUCGGAGUUGGACUACUAUCAUAACAUGAGAAAGUCAGCUGAAAAAUAAAACAUAUAGGAGAUGCAGUUACAUAUAUUUCCUAGUGAGACGUAGAGGGAACCACAACUCCAACUCCAGCUACCUUCUACUGUUCUACAGCUUGUAAUAUCUACAAUUUCCCAUCCAUAUCUGCACAACCAGAGUCUACAAUCUCUCUCACACUAAAAACACAAAACAAACAUCAACUUUGUCAUGCUGCAGAUGUUAGCCUCCAACAGUUUGUUGUCAUUUCAACAAGUCAACUUCCUCUUCCUAUACAAAUCACCAUUCAUCCCAUGUGCUUAUGAAGUCAUUCCACAUUGCACCUGCCAUUGAUUCUCUCAACGAGAAGGCUAUUUCCUCCUGCAUUGAUGGUCCCAACUCCGACAUCUCAGCAUGCUCGUCAAACUCCGAUACAUCUCCCACUGAAACUCCUUCAACACUGGCAAACAACCAAUCCUUGCGUUCCUCGCGUCUCACAAAAUUAUGCAACACACAGGCAGCAAUCACUAUAUCCCUUUGGACGUGAAUCCCGUACUGCGUCGCAACUUUGAGGAUAGGAAACCUCCUCUUAAGAACGUUGAAUGAUUUAUGGACUGCAUUCCUGAGUGAUGAAUGUCGAUGAUUAAACAGUUCCGCUGCAGUUCUGGGUAACUGAUUAGCACCCUUGAAGUGAUGAAUGUUACAGCGGACACCUGGAUAUGGAGCAAUAUACCCUUCCAUAUUUAUAUACCCAUUGUCAACUAGAUAGUAUUUUCCUGUCACGCAAAGCUUAAUAGAUAAGCCAUUCAUAUACAUCUCAUUUUCAGUAUUAAACCACAUUGCAAGGAUAAAAGAUAACACGAACCUUGAGGAACAUGAGGGAAAUUCUGAGUAGGGUCGUCGAGAACAGCUCUCAAGACACGUGAAUCGGGAGCAGAUCCUUCCCAACCGGGGUAGAUAAAAAUGAACUGUAGGUCAAAUGUACAGGCUGCAAGUACAUUCUGAGAUAAGAAUCCUUUCUUAUUACGAAAUUUAGAUUGAUCUUUGGCCGGUACAUUGGCAGGAAUGUGCAUGCCAUCUAUAACCCCGAUACAGUCCUGAAUCAUAACAGUUUAAAGGGGUAAGUCUCACAUUGCCAUGCAUAUACAAGUAGAGAGGAUAACGCUGCAAGCAUAAAGAAAACCUUGAAAUAUGGAUACAAUCUCUUGCUACCAUGAAUUUCUUGGGGAGUAGUCUGCGGCGGUGGCUGUAAGAACUCACGUGAAAGUGAUUUGACCGACUUGAGUACAUUAUUGAAAUAUCUACUUAUGGUUUCACCUGAAUGCUGAAACCUUUCUUGAACCACUCUGUUGCGCUCGCUAUGACCUAUGAUGUUCAAGAAAAUGGCCACUUGUUCCUCUAUCAUAACACCACAAGUAUCACGUAACAAACCUCUGUGUCGAAAAAUACUGCAUAACUUGUGAAAGACAUGUUUAUCCAUUCGAAACAUUUCCCUGCACAUAUCAUCAGGGCCAUCCAGUACCUCAGCCAUAAAGUUACGUCUCUGAUGUGAUGAAGCAAGUGCAGGCAGCCUACUUAAACUGUUAAAAUAGUAAUAUCCAGCAGCUGCAGCAGCCAUUUCCAUCUCGUCCAGUUGCAAAUCGAGGUCAUCCAUGUUUGCUGAUGUAUCUGUAGAAGCUGAAUUAAAACACCAGAAUACAAGUACCGGAGAUACAAAAUGAUAGUUAACUGACAACUAUAUACUCUUCCAUGCAUGACUAUUACCAGCAAAGAGAUUCAAACACGGAAAGCAAUACAAGUUGACAAAUUAAAGAGCCUUUUUUCACGUUAAAUCUGAAUUAGUUACAAGAAUGUGGUCAGCACACUGUUUGCAACUACAAGAUAAAAAGACAAAACUACUUGGACAAUAUCUCGAUGCUUAAUUCAUUUAGAGCUGGCACUAUACUUCCCCUGUAACCACGGGAGCCGUCUCUCAUUCUUAAGGGAUAUAAAAAUCUCUCGAGCAUCAGGGUUCUCAAAUAGUUCCAGCGCAAAAAAGUAAACCGGUUGAUCAACAUCCUGAAUCUCAUCCAACACUUUGAUACAUUUGCUUAUAGAAAAUUGAUCCUCACUCUUCAUGAUGGCGGCUGCCCGCAAUUUUGAGGCUGCGGCAAUUUCAAGCAUUGCAUCGACAAUGGCGUCACCAGUAGCCUUCCGGCCUCUCUUGCUACGACCAGAGCUAGCUGGUGUUCCAGUUUGCCGCUUGUUGUUGUGUCCAUCUAUCAUGUUAGCACCAUCUGCAGAGCCCGAAGAAACAUCUUCAUCCGCAUAAGCCAUUGGAGCAUUAGGAUUCAAAGACAUGCCUUGUAGGCUAUCAAGACUGCCAACACCCAAGAAACUUCAAAAUCCAGCCGCCUGAGAAGGGAAGUACUGCGUUAUCAUAAUUCAAAUAGGGUUAAAGAAACAGCCAAACCACAGGAGAGCAUUUGUAUUUGCAGUAAAGGGCAAGUCAAUAAAAGAAGCUUCCAGCAUUCAGGCUUCUUCCGAAGCCAGUUGAAUUCAGGCAAAUACUGCCUGAAUUCCCAAACGUGUUCAAUACAUAAAUGGGAAGAACAAAAGCGAAUUUUACUAGAAAAAAUGGUCACAAUCAAAUGAGCAGCCAAGAGACUGCGAAGCAAUGCACAUAGAUUACAACACAUGAGAUCGCGAAUCCCACAUAGAAACAGUUGCGUUUAAACUUGUUACAAAACAAAGAAGAAAGCUCGUAACUUGAGAAGCUAAAGGGCGAAAUGAAUAUAUAGAGACAAUCACCUGCUGUUGCUGUUGCUGUUGCUGUUGCUGUUGCUGUUGCUGCUGCUGAGUUAGAGACUUCUCCACUUCGUUGAAGAAAAGAGAGGGUGAGUCAAUUUGGGGUUUGUUUGGGGGAGAAGAAGGGUUUUUGAGAUUCGACCAAAAUCUAGGGUUAAUUUCACCAUAAAGAUGCAGACGGGCUAAUUACGUCUGAAAGUUCGGUUCGGGGCUACAUGGUAAUAAACCAAAAUCGAAUUUACUAGCAAAUUACGAAACUUUUCAAAUUUAAGAACCUUACAAGGAAGUGAAAUCGGAGAUGUGAUGCUCCAAAGGCCGGCCUUGCUGUUCAGCUUUUGGCUUCCUAUUUUGUUAUAGGGGUUCAUUCUGUCUCAGGAUGACCUACCUCCGUUCCGUUUUUUUUGCUUCGUUACCGUCGUUGUCGUCGAGCCUCGCCCGUGUUGGUUUGGUGGAUUACUCCGCCGGCCAUUUGGCCACGGGAUUCGUCCUUCUUGACAUGGAAAAUGUGAACGGAUCAUCCCCAUGAUUAUUAGAUCAUUUCGCCUUUUGUCAUUAGUGACGAUCAUUUCAAUUCCUCAUAUUUAUAAUCAAAUUGCGAGAUUAGUCCCCCCUUGACUUGAAGAAUGUGGAUGGUUUCCCAUAUUAUUGAUCCCGGCUGAUUAAAAAAAGAAGGGGAUCACACCGUCAAAUUAAUGGUCGCCUCCCGGUCUUCAUUGCACCAAUUAAACAGUUGGUUUUUCCAACCAAUUGCCAUUAAUGUGCCCCCUCCCCUCUUCUUUAGUUAUAAAAGGAAGCAUAUGUUGCCUAAUUUUUGUAUCCCACUCAUUCUCUCCCUAUCUAAUUCGUCUAGUUCUUUUUUUUCUCUGUUCAUUUCUUCACUUGGUCAAUUUGAAAAAAGUUCUUUCAAUUAUUUGGGUAGAUAGGUUAUUGUUAGAAAGUCCUGAUAAAUAUUUUACCGCGGUAGGAAUACUUUUUUGUGAGCGAUAAAAAUAGUGAGGUUGUUGUUUCGAGGUUGGGAAACAUUUGAGACACUAUUUUGGAUUGGCUCGGAUCACCUUGUACCUACCGGUUUAUAAUGAAGAAGUGCUCGUAGUUGUCGCUGCUGCCGUAGAUGUACUCUCUGCAUUGGAGAGGAACUAUGCAAAUCUCUGUGUUAUUUACUUAUCGUCUUGGACUAGGCAAUUUUGUGAAUGUUGGGGUAUAAUGCGAUGUUCAAUUACUAAAGUAAAUUGUUGGCUAAGUUACGGGAGUCAAGAUAAACUGUGCUGGGUCUAAAGUGGAUGUUCCGUCCCCAUGGUGAUUUUUACGCUCAUCGUUCUUGGAUAUUUACUUGGUG